RNAcentral lists this long non-coding RNA (87971 nucleotides) under Hordeum vulgare. RNAcentral describes it as "long non-coding RNA (HVUL_LNC003278)". Lineage: Eukaryota; Viridiplantae; Streptophyta; Magnoliopsida; Poales; Poaceae. The record is from RNAcentral.
GUCCCCACAUGUACAUACUUACAAAGUCAAAAGAACUAAAGCAAGCAUGUGCUACCAUACCCCUACUUCAGCAAUCUAUAUGCUAACUGAUGAAUUACCAUGCUAAUUUUGCUUAGUUAUUUGAUGUCCAUGUCUAAUUGACUAAAAAUGAUUUGAUGAAAAGUCAAAAUGUAUAUAUUAGUGAUAUCUUUGAAUUACUUGAACUAUUUACAUAUGUUUCAGAUAUUAUAGUAUGUUUUCUUCCCACUACCUCAAGCAUAUGAAAACUCACUUGGAAAAAAAGAAUGUUAACAGUUCCAAGAGGAGAAGACCUACAUAAGUAUUCGAUAGAUAACACAUUGUGAUGUGAUAUAUCAGUCAGUGUCCUGGUACUUGUCAAAGUAUAUCUUGAAGGUUGUGGCGUGCAUGAGCAUACUGUUGUGCAGGUUUGUUGUCAGCAGAACAACUUGAGGAAAACUAAUUAUAGAUGUUCCUAUGUCAUCUGAUUCCUCCAAAAAAAAUGUUGGGCAGCAGGCAAUAAUAUAGCAUGAUAGUAGAUGAUGCUAAAAAGACAUGCCACUAUGUAUGUAUCCAGUAAUAUAGAGGCAUUGCCCAUCGACAAAAUUAAACUCUUUCUCAACAUUAUUUUAGUGAAUAAAGCAUGCUUUGCUAUCUUCAUGGAUGGAUGGAGAACAACUCAAUGCACUGGGUAUUUUAGUGACAGAAGUAACUUUAGCAGGAUGUACAUAAGGCUCGUUAUUAGUAGAGGAUUCUUCACCCAGGGAAAGUUGGUUAAGCUUUGUAUUCCAUAUCCACUGUUCCUUGGUGUGAAAGAAGCUCAAAACAGAAAACAAAAUAUGUCAGUCACUCAAUUUAAAUGUCUUAUUUUAUCGCAUGCUUGUACUGAAGGCUUAUUUUAUCGCAUGUUUAUACUAAAAUCUGAAUAGAGCACAAAUUCAACAUGUGGUAGUAUGUAUUUAAAAGUAUCAAGAAAGUAGCUUUGUUGACCUACAUAUGUUGAAGUGAUGUUCUUUUGAAAGUACGCUAACCCACUAUUUUGUCAGCUCAGGUGAUCUAUUGCAGUAACCAAGUAAGAUGGGAGACCUUUUUAACGGGGAACACUAAGUUGUAAAUGCAAAUAAAAGUUUUAGGCCUUAAUAUGCACAUCAUUUCUUAAAAGCAUCAUAUCCACACAAAUUGAUCCGCAACAAUCAAGUAAAGUAGUUCCUAUCAAGAAACAUAUAUUAAAGAACUAUAUCAUCGGUCAGUAUCCAAUUCUGCACCUCUUCUUUUCCAUAUGUAAUUUUGUAUUGACAACUAAACAACAAUAUAAAAAGCAAUUAAUCUGAAAAACAUGCCCGUCGGAUACCGUUAUUGUUGACCCAUCAGCAUAUAAAGAAUGAUGUGCUUUAUAAAGGUCUUAUAUUGCAGGUGAGCCUCUGGCUAUCAUGAUGGAACUCUACGAUAGAAGGUUUUGAGAUUAACCGAAUUAGUAAGCUAUAUUUUUGAAAAGGUAAAAUAGUUUGAAGAUAACAAGUAUAGAAAAAGAAUCAAUAGUUGUAUAAUACUAACCACUGUUGUAAACUAAUAUUCAAAUCUUAUUAUGAUGGUUAAAUUGACAAAUUCGUAAAUUGGAUGACUAAUUUAGCAGUUAAACUUCAUUGCUGAUAUGAGUGGCAGACUCGCACGCUAGUUCAUGUUGUAAUGCAAAAAUGGCACAACCUUGUUUCAGGAAAAGGUGCAAGCAAAUACAAGUGUUCAUCAUGAUUAUGAGUUUUGAAGUAUUAAUACACGCAUUGUCGGGGAUAUGACCCCGCGAUCUAACCUGUCGCUUGGGCCAAGUUAAGCCAUAGGCGGUCUAAGGAGCAUAUGUUCGAUGGGCCGUGGAGAAGACAGGAGGCCGGGGCAGAGGACUUACCAAGUAAGUCGCAAGGCGUCCCGACACCAGAAGACGGUGACUCAAGGCCCACUAGGCAGAAGACGCUAGGAGGUUUCUUAUCUUGGGAGGCAAGAUGAAGUAAGAAUUGUAAUAAGCCAUGAUACGUCUCAAACGUAUCUGUAUUUUUUGAUGGUUUCACGCUGUUAUCUUGUCUUCUUUGGUUGUUUUAUGUACCUUGUAUAUCUUUUUUGGGACUAACUUAUUAAUUCAGUGCCAAGUGCCAGUUCCUGUUUUUCCGUGUUUUUGAUUCUUUUCAGAUCUGAUUUUGGAACGGAGUCCAAAAAGAAGAAAAACCCGAAAAUGAUUUUUUUUCCCGAACGGAAGAAGCCCAGGGAGCUUUUGGGCCAAGCCAGGUGGGCUCCACGGAGCCCACAAGCCCCCACUCCGCCACCAGGGGAGGCGGCGGUGGGCAGGCUUGUGGCCUCCCUGGCCGCCCCCUGACCUAGGUCUUUGGCCUAUAAAUUCCCAAAUAUUCCGCAAAAAAUCAGGGGAGCCUCGAAAAUACUUUUCCGCUGCCGCAAGAUUCCGUUUCCGCGAGAUCUCAUCUGGAGACCCUUCCCGGCACCCUGCCGGAGGGGACUUUGGAGUUGGAGGGCUUCUUCAUGAUCAUCAUCUCCCCUCCAAUGACUCGUGAGUAGUUCACUUCAGACCUGCGGGUCCGUAGUUAGUAGCUAGAUGGCUUCUUCUCUCUCUUGGAUCUUCAAUACAAAGUUCUCCACGAUCUUCAUGGAGAUCUAUCCGAUGUAAUCUUCUUUGGUGGUGUGUUUGUCGAGAUCCGAUGAAUUGUGGAUUUGUGAUCAGAUUAUCUGUGACAUAUAUUUGAGUCUUUGCUAAUUUAUUAUAUGCAUGAUUUGAUAUCCUUGUAAGUCUCUUCGAGACUUGGCUUUCGUUUGGCCAACUAGAUCUAUGAUUCUUGCAAUGGGAGAAGUGCUUGGUUUUGGGUUCUACCAUGUGGUGACCUUUCCCAGUGACAGUAGGGGCAGCAAGGCACACAUCAAGUAGUUGCCAUCAAGGGUAAAAAGAUGGGGUUUUAUCAUUGGUUUGAGAUUAUCCCUCUACAUCAUGUCAUCUUGCUUAAGGCGUUACUCUGUUCUUAUGGAUUUAAUACACUAGAUGCAUGUUGGACAGCGGUCGACGUGUGGAGUAAUACUAGUAGAUGCAGAAAGUAUCGGUCUACUUGUUUCGGACGUGAUGCCUAUAGAAACAAUCAUUGCAUAGAUAUCGUCACGACUUUGCGCGGUUCUAUCAAUUGCUCGACAGUAAUUUGUUCACCCACCGUCUACUUGCUUUCAUGAGAGAAGUCACUAGUAAACACUACGGCCCCCGGGUCUAUUCACAUCCAUCGUUUACACCUCCGCUUUUGCUUUGCUUUGUUACUUUGUUGCUUUCAGUUCUCAGUUGGCAAACAAUCUAUAAGGGAUUGACAACCCCUUCAUAGCGUUGGGAGCAAGUUUUUGUGUUUAUGCAGGAUCUUGAGAUACUCCUCCACUGGAUUGAUACAUUGGUUCUCAAACUGAGGGAAGUACUUACCACCGCUACGCUACGUCACCCUUUCCGCUUCGAGGGAACACCAACGCAAGGCUCCAAGGCCACGGGGGAAAUCCUUUGAAUACUUGCCUAGGAAGUCCCUUAAGGCGUAGUCGCAGCUGAAGGAUUCCUGGUGCCGUUGCUGAGGAGUAUCAAGCAACACUCCUAUUUCUGGCGCCGUUGGAAGGUCUUUUGUUGCAGUAGCAGAAGUAUUUAUGGCGCCGUUGCCGGGGAGGAGCACGUCAAGAUAACUUGCCGACAACGUGCCUAUUUCUGGCGCCGUUGCCGGGGAGGAGAAAUCAAGAUCUACCCAAGUAGGUCUCACAAACUCUUCUCUUGAAUUUACUUUUGUUGCCAGUUGCCUCUCGUUGUCCUCUCCCCCACUUCACAUUUGUCGUUUUCAUUUGCCUUUUUCCUUUGCCGUUUUCUUUUGUCUUUUUGAUGUUCUCUUUUGCCCGUUUCACUCUCUCUUCCUGCUCGUUUGUGUGUGAGAUAGUCCAUCAAUGGCUAGACCCACCACUCCAAACGACGCCCCUGAAAAUGAAGUUCUCAAUUUCAGGCAGAAUGAGGAAGAAAAUUUGAAGGACGCUUGGUACAGGAUUUGCAAUGCUCAAAGUAGAUCUACUCGUAAGCAAUCCACCACCGUCCUCCUUCGCAGUUUCUAUGUUGGAAUUUCUCCUUGGAAUAGGUAUAUCCUUGAUACCAUUGUAGGCGGGAACUUUUUGGUUGAGCCAUACUGUUGACUCCUAUAGAGCUAUCAUUAACUUGGUAGGCUCACCCCCGCUCAUGGUUAAUGGAACUAUCUUGACCUUGGAACACGUGAUGCAAAGGCUUGACGCUAUUGAAAACAAAAUUGCCACAGUCGAACUUAUUGAGGGUUUGGAUAAAAAGAUCCACAAUCAAAUUACUCAGUACGGAUCCAAACUGGGAAACUUUUUGAAAAAUUUAAAGGAGAAGGAACUUAUAGUUAAUAAUUCUUCUAGAAUUGGGAAAUUAGAAGAUGUCAUAAUCAACUUGGGUUCCGCUUUUGCCGCUGUGCAAAAUACUCCAAAUCUCACUCUCAAAAAGAUAGUCAAGCCUGUUUUUGUUCCUAAAGCUAGUGGUGAGUCAUCUAAUAAAGACGAAAACCUUAAGAUGAUAAAUGAUCACACUACCUAUGGUUUGAGCACCAAAGAUGACUAUACGUGAUUCCAUCACUUUCGCCUAGCUAAGGGCGUUAAACAAAAGCGCUUGUUGGGAGGCAACCCAACGAAUCUAUCCUUUUUCUUUCUGUUUUGUGUUUUCCACACUUUCAUAAUUCUGUUAUGAUUGUGUUUUUUUGUUUCUUUUUGCGUUUGUGCCAUGCAAAACCGUUAUGAUUAGUCUUGGGGAUGAUCGUUUGGUCAUGCUGGAAAAGACAUAAACUUUCUGCUCACGAACAUAAUUUUCAUUUUUUCUGUAAGAGCUUUUGAGUUGAUUCUUUUUUGCUGCUGAUUGCUACGCAAAUUCUUCAGACUGCCGUAAUUUGUCAGAAUUUUUGAAGUACCAGAGGUAUACGAAAUAUACAGAUUGCUGCAGACUGGUCUGCUGUUAACAUAUUCUGUUUUUGUUGUGUUGGUUGCUUAUUUUGAUGAAACUAUGGAUAGUAUCGGGGGGUAUUACCCAUGGAAGAUUGAAAGUACAGUAACCCUACAUCAGAACAAGUAGAAUUUAAGUUUGCUAUAGUACCUAAGGAAGUGGUGGUUUUCUUUCUUGUACUAAUGUUAUCAUGAGUUUCUGUUUAAGUUUCGUGUUGUGAAGUUUUCAAGUUUUGGGUGAAGUUCUUAUGGACAAAGAUAUAAAGAGUGCCAAGAGCUCAAGCUUGGGGAUGCCCAAGGCACCCCAAGAGAUUCAAGGAUGCUGUAAAAGCCUAAGCUUGGGGAUGCCCCGGGAAGGCAUCCCCUCUCUCGUCUUCAAUCCAUCGGUAACGUUACUUGGGGCUAUAUUUUUAUUCACCACAUGUUAUGUGUUUUCGCUUGGAGCGUCUUGUAUCAUAGGAGUGUUUUAUUUUUUUUGUGUCACAGUCAUACUAGCUGCACACCUAGAGAGAGAGACAUGCACACACCGUGAUUUUGUCGAGCUUCACUUAUAUCUUUUGGUAGACAAUUCAGCUCACAUGUGCUUCACUUAUAUCUUUUGAGCUAGAUACUUUUGCUCUUUGUGCUUCACUUAUAUCUUUUAGAGCGCAGCAGUGCGUGGCUUGGUAGUUGAUCUAUGCUUUGAAAGUAGUCUCAAAAGGGGUAGUUAUCGAAAGGGAUACGAAAACUUCCACCUUCAUGUGCAUUGAAUAGUUAGAGAAGUUUGAUUCAUCUCAAUCAGUUUUGAGUUGUGGUUAUGGUAAUAUUGAAGUCAUUUUAGUAAGGUGUUGUGAAUCUAGAAAUACUUGUGUUUAAGUUAGUGAUUCCCGUAGCAUGCACGUAUGGUGAACCGCUAUGUGAUGAAAUCUAAGCAUGAUUAGUAUAUUGAUUGUCAUCCUUUGCGUGGCGGUCGGGAUCGCGCGAUGGUUUAUACCUAUCAACCCUUCCCCUAGGAGUAUGCGUUGAAUGCUUUGUUUCGAUUACUAAUAAAAAUUUUGUAACAAGUAUAUGAGUUCUUCAUGACUAAUGUUGAGUCCAUGGUUUAGAUGCACUUUCACCUUCCACCAUCACUAUCUUCUUAGUGCCGUGCAACUUUCGCCGGUGCACAAAACCCACCAUUAGCCUCUCUCAAAACAGCCACCAUACCUACCUACUAUGGCUUUUUCAUAGUCAUUCCGAGAUAUAUUGCCAUCCAACUACCACCAUGACAUGUGCCACCACGUCUACAUUGCCAUUUCAUGAUCGUAUGAUAGCUAGCAUGAUGUUUCCAUUGAUGUCUAUGCCAUGCUAGAUCAUUGCCACGGUACACUAUCAAAGGCAUUCCAUAUAGAGUCAUCGUUACUCUAAGUUUUGAGUUGAAAGUGUGAUGAUCAUAAUUAAUGGAGCAUUGUCCCAUGUGAGGAAAUAAAAGAGGCCAAAUAAGCCCACAAAAAAAAGAGGCUGAAGAGCCCUCCAAAUAAAAAAAAUGAGAGGAAAAGAGAGAAGGGACAAUGCUACCACUUUUUCCACACUUGUGCAUAUUAAGCACCAUGAUCUUCAUGAUUGAGAGUCUCUCAUUUUCUCACCACCAUAUAGCUAGUGGGAAAUUUUCAUUAUGUAACUUGGCUUGUAUAUUCCUAUGAUAGGCUUCCUCAAAAUUGCCUUAGGUCUUCGUGAGCAAGCAAGUUGGAUGCACACCCACUAGUUUUCUUUAAGAGCUUUCACAAACUCAUAGCUCUAGUGCAUCAAUUGUAUGGCAAUCCCUACUCAUUCACAUUGAUAUCUAUUGAUGAGCAUAUCCACAGCUCAUUGAUAUGCCUAGUUAAUGUGACUAUCUUCUCAUUUUUGUCUUGCAACCUCCACUACAUUCCACACCAUCUAUAGUGCUAUAACCAUGGCUCACGCUCAUGUAUUGCGUGAGAGUUGAAAAGGUUUGAGAAAGUAAAGGUGUGAAACAAUUACUUGGCCAAUACAGGGGUUGUGCCUGAUUUAAAUUCGUUGUGCAAUGAUGAUAGAGCAUAGCCAGACUAUAUUCUUUUGUAGGGAUAACUUUCUUUUGGCCUUGUUAUUUUGAAAGUUCAUGAUUACUUUGCUAGUUUGCUUGAAUUAUUAUUGUUUCUGCGUCAAUAGCAAACUAUUGUUUUGAAUCAAAUGGAUCUGAACAUUCACAUCACAUAUGAGGAAUUACAAAGGACACCUAUGCUAGGUAGCAUGAAAGCAUCAAAAAUCCAUUCUUAUCACUUCCCUACUCGAGGACGAGUAGGAGUUAAGCUUGGGGAUGCUUGAUACGUCUCAAACGUAUCUAUAAUUUUUGAUGGUUUCACGCUGUUAUCUUGUCUUCUUUGGUUGUUUUAUGUACCUUUUAUAUCUUUUUUGGGACUAAAUUAUUAAUUCAGUGCCAAGUGCCAUUUCCUGUUUUUUCCGUGUUUUUGACUCUUUUGAGAUCUGAUUUUGGAACAGAGUCCAAACGGAAGAAAAACCCCGAAAUGAUUUUUCCCCGAACAGAAGAAGACCAGGGGGCUUUUGGGCCAAGCCAGGUGGGCUCCAGGGAGCCCACAAGCCCCCACUACGCCACCAGGGGAGGCGGCGGUGGGCAGGCUUGUGGCCUCCCUGGCCGCCACCUGACCUAGGUCUUUGGCCUAUAAAUUCCCAAAUAUUGCACAAAAAAUCAGGGGAGCCUCGAAAAUACUUUUCCGCCGCCGCAAGCUUCCGUUUCCGCGAGAUCUCAUUUAGAGACCCUUCCCGGCACCCUGCCGGAGGGGACUUUAGAGUUGGAGGGCUUCUUCAUCAUCAUCAUCGCCCCUCCAAUGACUCGUGAGUAGUUCACUUCAGACCUACAGGUCCAUAGUUAGUAGCUAGACGGCUUCAAUACAAAGUUCUCCAUGAUCUUCAUGGAGAUCUAUCAGAUGUAAUCUUCUUUGGCGGUGUAUUUGUCGAGAUCCGAUGAAUUGUGGAUUUGUGAUCAGAUUAUCUAUGAUAUAUAUUUGAGUCUUUGCUGAUUUCUUAUAUGCAUGAUUUGAUAUCCUUGUAAGUCUCUCUGAGUCUUGGGUUUUGUUUGGCCAACUAGAUCUAUGAUUCUUGCAAUGGGAGAAGUGCUUGGUUUUGGGUUCUACCAUGUGGUGACCUUUCCCAGUGAUAGUAGGGGCAGCAAGGCAGACAUCAAGUAGUUGCCAUCAAGGGUAAAAAGAUGGGGUAUUUAUCAUUGGUUUGAGAUUAUCCCUCUACAUCAUGUCAUCUUUCUUAAGGCGUUACUCUUUUCUUAUGGACUUAAUACACUAGAUCCAUGCUGGAUAGCGGUCAACGUGUGGAGUAAUAGUAGUAGAUGCAGAAAGUAUCGGUCUACUUGUUUCAGACGUGAUGCCUAUAGAAACAAUCAUUGCAUAGAUAUUGUCACGACUUUGCGCAGUUCUAUCAAUUGCUCGACAGUAAUUUGUUCACCCACCGCCUACUUGCUUUCAUGAGAGAAGCCACUAGUAAACACUACGUCCCCCGGGUCUAUUCACAUCCAUCGUUUACACCUCCGGUUUUACUUUGCUUUGUUACUUUGUUGCUUUCAGUUCUCACUUGGCAAACAAUCUAUAAGGGAUUGACAACCCCUUCAUAGCGUUGGGAGCAAGUUUUUGUGUUUGUGCAGGAUCUUGAGAUACUCCUCCACUGGAUUGAUUCCUUGGUUCUCAAACUGAGGGAAGUACUUACCACCGCUACGCUACAUCACCCUUUCCGCUUCGAGGGAACACCAACGCAAGGCUCCAAGGCCAUGGGGGAAAUCCUUUUCAUACUUGCCUAGGAAGUCCCUUAAGGCGUAGCCGCAGCUGAAGGAUUCCUGGUGCCGUUGCUGAGGAGUAUCAAGAAACACUCCUAUUUCUGGCACCGUUGGAAGGUCUUUUGUUGCAGUAGCAGGCCAUAGACGUUUCUUCGACCCGGACUCUAUUGUAAAGUCGAGGCCUCUACCUAUAUAUAAAGGAGAUACCUCGAGCUAGAAAGAUCAAGCAAGAAACUCUCGAGAGCUUGGUUAGCUAUUCUGCAUCCUUGUAAUCGAGAUGUCUGUCAAUAUAGACACAAAAGUAGGACAUAGACUUUUACCUCCAUCUGAGGGGCCGAACCUGGGUAAACCCGUCUCCUGUUUCCUGAUCAACCUCUUCGAGUCGCCACACAACGGUGAUGGCCUCACCACUAAGGCCUUUUACGAGGAUAGCUGCCGUGACAAAACUACGACAGUUGACGCCCACCGAGGGGCAAUCGCAAGGUGGAGUUGAGUUCUCGAAGGGAGAUCUUCCAGGGUUCGGGAGCUAUGUGGUGGGUCAGAUGACCAAGAGUCAUCGCGGCAAGAUCUACAUCGACGAUUCAAGACGGGGUCCCCUCGCCGACUCGGUCGAGUACAGGUAUCGCAUCCCUUUCGGCAAGAUCCACAGCUUCAUCGGCAAGGUCAAUGAAGCAACGCCCGAGAUGGACAUAUGUAUCAACAUUGUUGAGACGGCUCACCACGUUUGACCCAACCGGUGUGGGUGUGGCCGAAGCCAAACCUUCGUGGAGAACAUCGGGUCAUCCCGUCCUCUCAAAGGUGGGAACGUUGAAGGCCAAGGCAACAACAAGCGAAAGUGGCCCGGGGGCAGGUCAGAGACUGCGGUCAGUAUCAAUGCGAGUUUCAAAAACCAGCGCCUGAGCGACCGUCCUAAGAAGGUUUACCACGCGAAAAAGUCAUGCAACUAAGAGGCUGCGCUCAAGGCGUCUUUCCCCGGGCAUGGUACUCAGCAGAAGUCGGCUAAUCAUUCAUGGGAAGACUGUUAUAUCAUGCGGGAUUUCCAUAACUGGGUUCUCGAAAAACGCCAAGAGGAACAUCCAGGUCAAAAUACCCCUGGUGGGUCAACUGCGGGUCUCAAACCACCAAGUAGUGGUCAGUACCAUGUGUUCACCAUCAAUGCUUGCAAAUGAGACACAAAGGUCAGAAAGAGGGCUAUCGGCAUGGAUGAGCCGGUGGUUCCUAAGUACAUUCGUUGGUCUGAGCAGCCAAUCAUGUGGAGCCUUGAGGAUCAUCCCCCCUGGGUCGACAACCCUGGAGACCUGGCCCUAGUGGUGGUGCCUCAAGCGAAUGGCUAUACCCUUACAAAGGUCCUCAUGGAUGGAGGAAGCAACGUCAACAUAUUAUAUUAUGACACCUUUCGCCAGAUAAACCUCCUCGACGGCUCCUUGGAAACUUCAAUCAUCGUUUUUCACGGCAUCGUUCCCAGGAAGUCGUCGUACCCGGUCGGGCGGAUUAAGGUUUACGCGGCCUUUGGUGAUGAGUGUAACUACAGGGUCGAGCCUUUGACUUUUGAAGUUGUAAAGAUACAUAGCCCUUAUCAUGCCCUCUUCGGGAGGCUGGCUUAUGCCCAUUUCAUGGCUGGCCCCUGUUAUGUUUACCCCAAGCACAAGAUGCCAGGUCCCAAUGGAACUAUAACGGUGGGAGGCGACAGGAAGACGGCUUAGGAAUGUGAGGAAGGGGACGCAACCUAUGCUGAGUCAGCCUGUGGAGCUCAGGAGCUAAAAAUUUACAUAGCUAAUGUCGACCCGGCUGACAUGAGUUCUCUCAAGAAGCCGAACACUGAGUCCGAAGAACCCCUCAAGUUCAACCGGCCAAAGAUACCAAACAGAAUGACUUCAUCCCAAGCGACUCAUUCAAGCAGUUCACUAUUGGGACCAAUCUGGAUACUAAAUAGGAAAGCACGCUCAUCGAGUUCAUCUGUGAGAAUCAUGACAUCCGUGCAUGGAAGCCUUCUGACAUUCUUGGAGUAUCGUGGGAACUCCUUGAGCACCAUAUUAACAUGGAUCCUAAGAUGAAACUAGUACGGCAGUACCUCCGUCGCUUUAACGAGGAGAGAUGCAAGGCUAUUGGAGAAGAGGUAGCUUGACUUCUAGCUGAUGGGUUUAUUCUUGAAGUCUUUCACCCUAAAUGGAUGGCUAACCCGGUGUUUUUUCGAAAAAUAAGGACACUUGGCGCAUGUGUGUUUAUUACACAGAUCUCAACAAAGCAUGUCCCAAAGAUCCUUUUUCCCUCCUGCGUAUCGACCAGAUCAUUGACUCUACGGUGGGUUGCGAGCGAUUAUGCUUUUUGGACACAUACUCACGUUAUCACGAGAUCAAAAUGGCUAAGGAGGAUCAGGAGAAGACAACUUUCAUAACCCCUUUUGGUGCCUUCUGCUAUGUUUCUAUGUCUUUCAGGCUCAAGAGUGUAGGGGCGACUUAUCAGCGAUGUGUGCAGUUCACUCAUAGAUCGCACGCAACACUCAUGCUUAUGUUGAUGACAUCGUGGUGCAAUCUUGGAAGAAGGAGACAUUAUUGGACGAUCUCAAGGAAAUGUUUGAUAACCUUUGAGUAUACCAGAUGGAACUUAACCCGACGAAGUGUGUCUUUGGGGUCCCUAUGGGUAAGCUAUUGGGUUUCCUGGUCCCUGAACGAGGUAUUGAAGCCAAUCCCAACAAGAUCAAGGCGGUCACCUCAAUGGGUAAGCCGACUAAUAUAAACUAGGUCCAACGCUUGGCUGGCCGCAUCGCAGCAUUGAGUAGGUUUAUAAGCCGCCUGGGGAGAAGGCAAUCCCUCUCUAUCAGCAGCUGAGAAAGACAGACAAUUUUGUUUGGAGUGAUGCGGCCGACGAAGCCUUUGAAACUCUCAAGAAGUAGUUGGCUAAGCCACCGGGUUUAGCUGCCCCGAUUGACAAAGAACAUAUGCUCUUGUAUAUAGGUGUCAAUUCAAAGGUGGUAAGUGUUGCAGUCGUUGUUGAACAAAAGGACGGAGGAAAGGAAUAUCCAGUUCAAAGGUGAGUUUAUUUCAUCAGUGAAGUCUUGACCCUAUCCAAGCAACGAUAUCCACAAUGGCAGAAACUGGUCUUUGCGGUCUUUACGGCUCAUGCUUUCGUGUACUAAUAAUGCAGCUGAGUAUGAGGCAUUGUUGCAUGGGUUAAGGAUGGCCAAGGAAAUGAAUCUCAUCCGGGUUAGGGCAUUGGGCGACUCAGAUUUAGUGGCGCAGCAGGUUUUAGGGACCUUGGAUUCUAAAGAUCCUUUGUUGGCAGCUUAUGGACGAGCAAUUACUGAGGUCGCAAAUUACUUCCAUGGCUAUCAAGUCGACCACAUAGAUCACCGUCUCAAUGAGGCGGCAGAUGCUUUAUCGCGACUUGGUUCUCAACAGAAGCCGGUCCCUCCCAAAGUAUUUUUGAAUGUCCUUUACAACCCCUCGGUGAAGUUACCGUCUGAAGAGGAUAUAGCUAUUCCAGACGUGGAAUUAUAGCUAGUGGCAACUCUUCGAGCUACCCUAGGUUUGACGGUACCAUAGUUAGCGUAUCUCGCUUGAGGAGAACUCCUAUCUAAGGAAGUCGAGGCCCGCCAGAUAGUUCGUCGAUCUAAAUCGAUGACCAUUAUCAAGGGUGAGUUACAUCUGCGGAGCAACACUGGCAUUUUUUCAAUGUUGUGUAUCUCCCGAGGAAGGACAAGAAAUUCUUAAUGAAAUGCAGGCAAGAAACUAUGGGCAUCACGCCAGCUCAAGAUCUUUGGUGUCAAAGGCCUUUCCUCAUGGGUUUUAUUGGCUAACAGCUCAUGCUGAUGCAGAAGACCUCGUAUGCAAGUGCAAUGGAUGUCAAAAGUUUGCUUGGCAGGCCCAUGUGCUGGCUCAAGAUUUGCACAUGAUCCCAAUCACAUGGCCGUUUGCAGUCUGGGGACUUGAUAUGGUUGGUCCGUUCAAAAUGUCUCUGGUAAAAAAGACCCACCUACUGGUAGCAGUUGAUAAGUUCACCAAAUGGGUUGAGGCGGAACCUGUCAGCAACAGUGAUGCGGAAACAAUGGUAAAAUUCUUGAAGAAGUUAAUCUACCAUUUUGGCUAUCCUCAUAGCAUUAUCACGGACAAUGGUACCAACCUAUCGAAAGGGCUUUGGAACAAUUCCGUCAGAAAGAGCACAUCUGGCUUGACUUGGCAGCGGUAGCGCAUCCGCAAUCCAACGGCCAGGCUGAAAGAGAGAAUCAGGAGAUUUUCAUAGGGGUCAAACCCCGUCUCAUGGCCCCAUUACAGCGUACCCUAGUUAUUGGGUUGAGGAACUCUCCUUAGUAUUCUGAAAUAUCAAUACUACUCCAAAUAGGUUCGCUGGACACACGCCUUUCUUUCUGGUCUAUGGUGCUGAGGUGGUACUCCCAAGUGAUAUUCGCCACGACUCUCCUAGAGUCGCCGGUUAUGUUGAGGGUGAGAAUGAACAAGCACGAGAAGAUCCUUUGUAUUCUUUGGAGGAAGAACGAGACUUAGUAGCAGCUACGUCACCAUAUAUCAACAGGACCUACGCUGUUAUCAUACCUGUAGAGUUAAAAGCCGCACUUUCCAAGAAGGCGAGUUGGUGCUCCGCCUGAUUCAAGAUCAAACGGAGAUUCAUAAACUUUCACCGCACUGGGAAGGCCCAUUUAUCAUCAGGAAAAACCUCAACAAUGGUUCACACUACCUGAUCGAUCUAUGACCCGGUAAGAACAUCUCCGAAGCAGAGACAACCCGGCCCUAGAACAUUGCUCACCCAUGGCCUUAUUAUACUUAGAGCCACUGACUUAUUAUUUCUUGUACCUUCCCCAAUUUGUGUACAUACUUCUAUAGUUUUGAACAUAAUAAAGUUGACAUCCUCAAACUUCGGGGCCUCUAUUGGCUUUAGCCUACAAAUUGAGCAUGAGUCUUUAUUAUUUCAAUACAUGUUACUUGGGGGCUACUAGUCAAAACAAAUCAUCGUGAUCAAUGGAAUCAAGCUGGCUUAUGUGGACUCCAGAUUGUUUAGUAGUAAUAUCAUUGUCUUCUGCAAUCCUAUGCUGCGCUUUUCUAUUGAUCACAUGUUAUUUGGGGGCUUCCAACUCAUCGAGAUUAGCUUUCUCACCGGCUUAAUCCGGCAAAGACGCCACAAAAUGGUUAUACCUCCAUGUAUGUUUGAUGCGACUCCGAGCAGGUGACUCCAUGUACUCUUGACUAUUCAAUCAAUUGUGGACCCUGAAUUAGCAAGGUUAAUACAUUGGUUUGUCAUGUGAGAGUCGGCAUACUGAAGCUAGGAUAAACCAUAGGUUAUCAUGCCCGCUUCAUUAAAGCAAGACUUGAGCCUCGAAAGUCGGUCUCUUUUUACCGUGUCUCACUAAGCCGGAUUAUUAUUGCUUUAUAUUAUCAUGACUUGAUCGUGUCAGGUACAAACGCUAUUUUUCUGGCUCAUAAAGAGUGCUCGGGUUAUAAAGUCAUAAUCCUAUCAUGAACAAUUCAAAAAAUUAUGGCUGAGCGGACGAAAAUUGUGAAUUCUAGGGCCAAGUUGCAAUAACUAGCCUCGUGUUGAUUCAAGCAGACAGAUUUUGAGCACGGAUCAGCCAAGACGGAACAGAUUAAAAGACUAAAGAUCUAUCUGGUUCGUAUACAUAAGGAUUAAAAGCCGGGUUACCAGAGAUUUGGGCAGAUUUAGGCCACUUGCCAACAUGACAGGAACCAAGAGUUUUUACAAACAUGCCAAAGGUACGACACACACGAUACAACUAUUGGCUCGGGAAAUAUGUUACAAGGCACUCAAGGCCCAAACGGUGGAAUCAAAGUUUUUCUCGUAACUAGGUUUUCACAUUUUUCCGGCUUAAGCUUUGUAUUGGUCUUGCCCUGAGAUGCCUCCGGUUGGUCCUCCGUUUGAGCCGUCGGAUCUAUGAUUUGAAGAUCAUCCAAAUUCUAGUUGCAAUGGGACAAGGCUUCAAAAAUGGCUUCCUUGUUCAAUAUAGGCGCGGGUUGACGUUAGGGGCAAAGAGCUGCUUGCGACUCCGCGGAGUUAGACUAACCAAUUUAAAUAGGGGCGGCUGAACUCGGCCGUUGUUUGAGUCAUAUGUUGGAUGAUAGCUCUUCAAAGACAUGCCACUUACAAGCUAAAUGGCCAACAUACGAGCCGCCGAGACGCACUAACGAUAAUCAUCAUCAUUAAGAGCUAAUACAUCCGCCUUCAACUCUCGAAACCCCCCGAUCAUUGCUGCCGGGUCAAGCUCAGCCGAGUAAGGGAGAGCCCGACUCAAAUAAUAUGUGGCUCCGGCACGGGCGGCUGGUCUCUUGAGCUCUCCAGUUUGUUUGGGUAUUGUAGAGAGAAACACCAACACAUCUUUUAUAAUCUUAACCGGCUCUUUGUUCCCCGCGAUGGCUCUGACUGUGCAUAAGCUUCCGCUAUAGAGCUGCUCUAUCAAUACAUAUACAGCUUUGAGCUUUAACAAGCAAUUGUCUUGGAUAUUGCGCGUAUGGCGGCCUGCAAAGACACAAGCACAUAAGUCACCAUGCGAUUGGUCUUAGCGAAUGAAUAUUAAGUGGGUUAAUGAAAGGCUUCCGAACAUACUCACCAAAGAUGGCUUGAGUCAUGUGGUCAAUAUGCCUUUUUAACCCGGAUAGCUCUGUAGAGGCGGUUUUGGGGGGGGGGGUCUUUAGAGUGCUUGGUCAAUGUGGCUUUCUCAAUUUUGAAGGAUCUUUUUUCUUUUUCAAAUCCUUCCUUGAUCUUCUCCAUUUCCUCCAAGGAUAAUCGAAGUUUUUCCUAAAGCUUUGCUCGGUCGGUUUGUCCUUCCUCAAGAGCCUUUGUGAAAUCAACGACUUUUGACUCAGCGGCCUUCAAAGUUUCCUACACAAAAAUUGGAGUAACAAUAAGCCAGAGACGGGACAACAUGAUCACUAUGAUAAUGAAGAUUAUAAACAAGUCCCAAGCAUAUUGCAAGCAAUAUACUUGGCACUUGGGGGCUAAUGCACGUCAGUUAUUUUUUGAACAUAUGAUAGAAAAGACCCAACUCAUCUCAAAAAGAUGAUCCGUCCCUUGGGGCUAUAGGUCAAUUUCUUUCACAAUAAUCAUCAAGAUCCGACUCAUCUCAAAAAGAUGAUUCGGCCCUUGGGGGCUACAGGUCGAUUACUUCAAUCAAAUCAUCAAGACCCGACUCAUUUCAAGAAGAUGACUCGGACCUUGGGGGCUACAGGUCGAAUUCUUCAAUCAAAUCAUCAAGACCCGACUCGUCUCAAGAAGAUGAGUCGGCCCUUGGGGCUAGAGGAGGAUAUAUGGAAUACAGAGUACAUGGCAAGGUGGAGCAUACCUCAUAUUUUAGCUUCAUCAUAUUCACAAGGCUAGUUUCCAUUUGACGGCUUGUAGAAAGACACUCAAGAUAACCAGUGUACAAUUCCUCAGUACAGAAAGUAUCAUAAUUCGGAAGCUCUAGUUUAGCUUUUCCUUUGUCAGACUGGACAACUUCCUCCUUUGUGGCAAGCUUUGCCAACAUAUCAGAGGAACAUCUUCACAGGGUACCUGAGGAAUGGGAGGAUCAGUACCAGUUGCCGGAUCGGUUUCAACAUCCAUAGGCGAAGCAGUAACUAUUUCUAUUUCAGGCUGAGUGUUUGGGAUAUUAUCAUGCCAUACAACCCGCCCUAAGAAGUCGGGUCAAGAUGGUAACAGCUCAACGUUCAUACUCAAGAUGGUCCCUCACCUACAAAGCAGGAGGCGCAAGGCGGUUUAUCAAUGAGAGCCGGCAACGGCCCAAGACACGAAGAUGGCGGGUCAUGGCCCACAAGGGAGAAGGUUGCUAGGAGUUUCCUUGCUUAAGGAGCAAGGCGAGUUAGAGACAUAACCGGUCAUGGAUUAUAAUGUGACCUGGACUCUUGUAAACCUAAGGGUCUCGACCUGUAUAUAAAGGCGAGUCUCUAGGGCUGGUAGACUUAAGUUACAAUCAAUCGAGAGCUAUGUCAGGCAAAAUAGCACCCUUGUAAUCGAUUUCAUCAUCAAUACACACAAAGCAGGACGUAGGCUUUUACCUCCAUCGGAGGGGCCGAACCUGGUAAACUCGUCUCUCGUUCCCGAUUAGCCCCUUUGACUCGCCACAUAGUUGCGAUGGCUUCACCACUAAGUCCUUUCAAGAGGACAUCUGUCGUGACAAAACCAUGAUAGUUGGUGCCCACCAUGGGGCUAGCGCACGAUGGAGUUGAGUUCUCAAAGGGAGCCCUUCUAGGGUUCGGGAGCUACACGGUUGGUCUCAUGACCAAAAGCCACCGUGGGAAGUGCUACAUCGACAAUUUGAGUUGGGGUCCCGAGGCCAGUUCGAUCGAAUCUGGUUACCGGGUCCCCUUCAGCAAGAUUCACGUCUUCAUCGGCAAGAUCGGCGCACCCGUUCCCGAGACGGACAUCAACACCGACAUCGUCGAGCCGGCUUGGUUCGCUCAACCCACCAAGCGUCAGAUCAGGCAGCGUCACGUCUUUGUUGGCUUUACGCAGGGGGUUAGCCUAGCGGAUGACACGGCGAUUGGUGGAGACACCCGUGUCAACUCAGUCGACGAGUCAUCUAUGAGGGACACAAACUCGAUCUGCCCUCUCUAUGAGGGAAGGCUUGGGGGCUUUCCUGAGGCGGCGAUCUUUGAAGGUCUGCAGGAGCCGCCUCGCCAGGUUGCCAUCUAGAUGGUUGGGGCAACGUUGGCUCAGAAUCACCCAGAUGCGGCGGCCGCCAAUGGAGCCAGCGGGUCUGGAAAAAUGCCAGCCCAGGCCAUGGCGGAUCUGAUGGUCGAGAUAUGAAAACUCAUGGCGGUCGCCGUUACUGCUGACAAUCAGGAGGAAAUCAAUGCCGAGCUGGCAAAACUAUGUGAAGAGAUGGCCAAGAUACAGUGUGAGAUCGAUGCUGAGAACACCCGGAUGGCAAAUCAGUAGGUUCAAAUUAACGAAGAGGUGGAACGCUUAAAGGCUGAGGCAUGGCGGCUCGAGCGUCGGCGAGUCUCCUCUGAUGUGGUGCAUCAGAGGAGGCAUUAGAGUCGUUUCCUGACCAAUCUUAACCCCACGCGAUUAUUUGACAGCACACACAUGCCUGGUGUGGAGCAUAACCCGCCUCGACAGACUAAUCAACUAGUGUAGCUGGCUUAGCCAUCGGCGACUCAGCAGUCGACCCAACCUCCGCUGGACAAACUGCUGGCUCAGCGUUUUCAAAGACCGCAGGGUCACUUGUCCAAUCCUCUGGACAACGUGCUGGCUACAACCCAUAAUUUGGAGUCUCUCCCCAUUCAUGGAAACACCCUAAUCGAGGUGGAAGCAAGGAACGUCAUCGAGAUGCUGAAGACGGCGAUGGUUCAACACGCGCAAUUUUCUUAUAGUCGUGAUCAGCUGCAUUACACACCCCACGCUAGUCAUACCAAGAGCCGCAAUGACGAUCCUCCAGCGGUCUCCAGCAGUAGUUGCCGACAGCAGCCUCAAGCCAACCCGCCCGGACUGCCAAUGUUGAAUGCUCAGGCGCUUGUGAAUGCGGCCCGAGCUUCCCAUUAGGUAGAGGCAGAGGCAACGGCGGCGAUGGCGGGACAGGUGGUUCCGACUUACGUCCAGCUGGUGCGUGCAUACAGUGAGCCGGGAGGAAGGAACGUAGGCAUCCCCUGCUUGUCAUUUGCUCUUCACAGCGAGCGCAUGCCCAAAGAUUUUAAAGGCCCUCGCAAGAUGCCCAAUUACACACCCGAUCUUGAGGCAGGUGCGUGGAUUGAGAGUUACAAGCCUGCUAUGGAUAUGCUCGAGGCCAAUAAUGCAGUAUGCGCCAAAUAUUUCAUGAUGAUGUUGGAAGGACCAUCUCGCACGUGGCUGAAAAAUCUACGGUCAAUCCCAUCAACACUUGGGCAGAAUUGAAGGAAAGAUUCAUUAAAAACCCCCCCCCCCCCCCCCUCGUAGAUCUGCAAAAUUGCGUUCAGCGGACGGAUGAGUCGGCCCACCAGUGGACGCGGCGGGUUUCAGAGAUUAUCCACUCCUCGGAUGGCAUCACAGUGACUCGCUGAUCUUGGAGAAUAACUGUCACUUUCAACCUGUGGUAUUUAAGCUUGGUCGUUUUAAGCGAAAGGUGUAGGAUAUGGGCGAGUUGAUGGACACCUUCACCAGAUAUGCCGAGUCAGAUGGCACGAAGGAUGCCGACUCAGAUGAUGAUAAAGCCAGUGAAGUCAAGAAAGGAGAUGGGACCAAGAGUCAUCUUCAAGCUCAGGGACGUAUUGGCAACUAGGGAGGUCAAGGAAAGAGAAGACAGCACGAUAGUGUGUCUGAUUUUGUUGCCAAUACCAAGGACGGGCCAAGAAACCAGCGUCGGAAUAUUCAUCAAAAUAGGGGCUAUAGCGGUAAAAAUGACGUAAUUAUGAGGGUAUGCUCAAGGGACCCUGUCCUAGGCACAGUGCCCCGAAUGCCCCCUCUGACCACUCUUGGGAAAACUGCUUUGUGAUGCAGGAAUUUUGUCUUCAAGCAUAGAGAGAUCACCAAGGGGGAAUGGUGAUGGACCUUCGGGCUAGUUUGGUCCCGGCAGAUCACAAGGUGGCUCGUUUGGCGGUUUCCCUGGUUCCGGCCCUGAUGGGCAAGGAGGCUCGAAUAACAGCGGCGGACAACAUUCUGGCCAAGGUAACCAGCAGUACAAUAAUCAAGGCGGUUUUCAGCGGCACAACAACCAAGGCGGUUUUCAGCAGCUAUUGGGGAUAUACCCCGCAGUGACACCUGGCUUGAUGUAUGACCCGCCAAGAACUUGGCGACUCACCAGCAACUCAUAUUUGACCCCGCAGGCGACUCACACAAACGACAAAGGCCCAAGGCCCGGCGUUCACACUGGCAUAAGGCAUCUCAUAGAGAUCCCAAGAGGGUCGGCUCACAAGAGAAGGCCCAAGAAGAGGAAAGACUCCCACAAGAAGGAAACAAGACCCGGAUUAGGAUUCAAGAGAGGCUAGUCCUAUUCCUACUCCUAGUAGGACUCUACAUGUAAACAUACCCCUUCCACCUAUAUAAGGAGCGGUAAGGCGCCCCAAGAGGGUCAAGAUUCACAACUUAGGUCUAGACAAGACAAAUCAUGAGAUAGACAGAUUAGACACCCACAAGAUUAGAGGUGCCGAGUCUGCACCCUUGUAAUCGAGAUCAUCAUCUUCAUCAAUGAAACACAAGCAGGACGUAGGCUUUUACCUCCAUCGGAGGGGCCGAACCUGGGUAAACUCGCGUCUCUCGAUUUCGACCAACCCCUCUCAAGCCGCCACAUGGUCGCGAUGGCCUCACACCUAAGUUCUCUCACAAGGACAUAUGCCGUGAGAAAACCACGACAUUUGGCGCCCACUGCGGGGCCUGAUUGCACGGUGGUAUUGUGUUCUUGGAGGGACCUCUUCAAGGGUUGAGAAGUUCGCGAUUCAUCGGAUGAAGAAGAGACAACACGAAACUAUUCAGGCACAUACAUGAUUGAGAUCGAGAGAAAAUUUAGGGUUACAUCUAUGCAGCGCAUCGUCGCACAUGAUUUGUUUGAUCGCUUUCUACGGCGGAGUCAACGAGUUUUUUUCCAUCUGAGAUUCAAAUCCUAACCUUCGGCUCGUUUUCGGAUCGGAACGCGCAAAGCAAUCUGCCAACAUAUAUAGGCUGAAGAUGAGCCGACAUGGAACAAAGCCAACAAAUUCAUCGUUUAGUGACAAGUAUCGUGAUUAAUUUUGGAACCGGCGGUACAAAAAGAAGUGAAGUUUGGAUCAUGUAUACGCGCCAUCGCGCGUGACCCGGCGAUCUAUCGAAACCAGAGGAAUACGUGACCAGGUGACCCAUCGAGCCGGAUGAAUUUUACGCCAACCAACAAGAUGAGUCCGACACAGAAUUUACUACAGCCGCCAAACACCACGCCGUACGGCGGAAAGGGAUUUGGAACACCAUGUCAUACACUACAUCAUCUGGCAAGAUCGCGUGGAGAAGCACCACAAGUUUAGAAAAAGAAGUGGGAGGCAGGUGGCCAUGACCCGGAUGCGGAAGUGACCCACGCUCGGUCUCCGUCGUCGUGGCCUCGCGUUGAGUCGGCUCACUGCAUCGCGCGUGCGGCCGCCGCCCUAGCUCGCCUCGUCGUUGUAGCUAUUAGAAACUAAUUAGUAGAUUAAUUAGCCAAGGGAUGUGUCCAACCCCGAAUAGUUGUGUCUCCUCUCUCUCUCUAUUGCCAACAGGCACCUGUUCUGGAGGGAUGCCUCCGAACAGACACCUCUUCUUCGCACCUCUUCCAGAUGUAUAUAUACUUGAGAAUCAAUAGAAAUCAGGACUAAUCGUCCAUUCACUUUCAUUCAAUCUCGUUUUACUCUAACACGUUAUCAUGCACUUUGCUCUUCAUUAGAGAGAUUGGCUAAAACAGAGAAGAACGAGGAUGAACUAGGUAUUAGGCUUCAUCAAUUCACAAAUCAUUUUCGAACGGCAACAGGAAAGGAGGAACAGAGAAGGAGAUGAAGAAAGGAAUUGAAGAGAACACAAGAUCGCCAAAGACUAAAGUCUCCAUGGGAGACUAAACGAACAUCUUGAUCUCUAAUUGCAGCAGGCCCUCAGGCACGGCCGCAGUUCCUUUUCGUAGGAGAUCAAAUGAAUACAGAAGUCUUGAUCUAAUUGCUACUCUACAAUAACAAGGUGUCCCUCUUCCUAAUCUAAUACUGCACGUAGGACGUAGCACAUAAUAAACAAUCUUAGAAUUAUCUCUGGCCUUAGCCAUGGAAGGGUCGAAUGCCUUGCGCAUGCAAAGGCUGCUCUUAGGGNNNNNNNNNNNNNNNNNNNNNNNNNNNNNNNNNNNNNNNNNNNNNNNNNNNNNNNNNNNNNNNNNNNNNNNNNNNNNNNNNNNNNNNNNNNNNNNNNNNNNNNNNNNNNNNNNNNNNNNNNNNNNNNNNNNNNNNNNNNNNNNNNNNNNNNNNNNNNNNNNNNNNNNNNNNNAACAACCAUAAUUUUUGCAAGUGAUUUUUUUUCUUGCAAAUCCAAUUGUAAUUCAACACAUGAAUUAUGAAGUGUCAUUCUCAAUUUGACAACCUGCAUUUAUUUGUGAAUCACAAGGUAUUGAUGGCAUCUACUGCAUAAUUUGCAGAUUAUCCAUCAUUAUUAUGAGGUCUAUAUUUUAUCAUUUAGAUAAGAUGACUACCUUCAAUGUGUUUUUUCAAAUAUUAAUAUUAAUGUGGCUACCUAAAGAUAUAAUAAGAUAAUAUUGGCAUCUACUGCAAAAUUUUGCAGACUACUCACUAUUACUGCAAGGUCUACAUCAUGUCACUUUGACAAAUGAUUGCCUUCAAAGUGAUUUCAUACAUUUAGCAUAACAUAAGGUAAUAGAAUUAUAAACAUCUACUGACUAUAGUCAGACUAUGUUUUCUAUUACUGCGAGAUCUACACCAUAUUGGUGAUUAUCUUUAAAGUGUUAUCCUAUAUAAAUUGAGGCCUACACAUAUGGCUAUAUGGCAUCAGACGUACUAAAAUUUGCUCCUCUAAAGCAAUUGUUGUUGUUCACUAAAAUGAUUUACUAUCAUAGUAAAUUCAUGCAUGAUUAUUGCAUGUUGAAUGGUAUUAUCUACCAAUAUCAAUUAUUCAAGCCUCUUUUUGCUUGAAUAUGUCAUAGGGAACUACAUAAAUAUUUGCAUUUACUUGUGAUUACCUUCUAUUACAUUGGUAAAAUACAUAGCAAUGAAGCCUACGACAAUAUUUCUAAUUAUAGUGUCGUCCAUCCAUCAUGAUGGACCACAUAAUUAUGACAAUGAUUAAGUGUCUCAACACUUUCGCAAGGUCCACAGGACAUCAUGGUUAUAAUUUCAUAGUGACUAACCAAUGUUAAGCAUGCAAGUCUAUAUGUUUUGGAAGUGACUCUAAAGUCACACACUUCCUCAAGAAUGAAGUCCAAAACAUUAGCAAUAAUUUAAUCACAUGUGUUAUAUUGAAGGAUACACCCAGGUUCACCAAGGAUCAUCUUGACCAUGAUUGUUCUCAAACAAAUCAUUUAUUUAUAGAUGCUACUUACUCCUAGAAGUAAAUUAAAUAAAUGCAUUAGCAUUUUCAAGUAACGCAUGGCUCACAUUUUCAAAUAUAGUAAGUACAUGUUAGGUGAUAUUAUUUAUGGUAAGAUGAUUUAAUACAUCAGUCGUUGUAUCCACCCGAGAUAUUAUUGGUACUAUAACCUCACCUUCGGAAUAUGUGUCAUGGCUAUUCUCUUAAUAGCUAAGUAUGAUCAUAUGUAUUUCAUCUCUCACCAACUUCACUUAGUUCUCAAACUAAGUACAUAAUGGAUGAAUAUUUAUUCACCUUGAAUAUUUCCCUUAAGAGAAACAUGCUGCCCCGAGCACAUUUGGAAUGAUCACCCAAUAAUUUUUCAAGACCUCAUGUCUAUCGCAACUUACAAUUUUGGUAAUUAUAAAAUCAACUUGAAGUUGAGAUCUCAUGAUCUGACAUUUUCAUAUGCAGAUCAGGUUGAAAAGCCCUUGAUACACUUUACAUCUCCUUAUGAUGGCAUUACCAUUUUCAUGGUACAGAAACAUGGAAUUUCAUAAAAUCAUGAGAUACACCCAACGAGUGCUAUUCCAUUCUUUGAAAUUCUUGCUAGUAUUGUGAAUAAUAAUCAAGUCAUUGGUCACAAAAUAGAACCAUGAUGUAUUCAAGGUAAAGUGGAGGCUAAAAUACAACCAAAGAUGGAACUUUUCUUAAUAGGGAAUAUAUCGUUUUCAAACGAUCAACGACAACUCUCAAGUUUGUCAAGUGUGUGGUUAUUUAAACAUCGUACCUAUGAUUACCAAACCCUCAAACAUAUGGUCAAACCACACCAUGAUUUUAUUAAAAGGCAAAUAAGUUCAUUGUGGUAUUUGAAAAUUUGCAAACAUACGACCAGAAACUAUUCUGGUAAAUGAUGUUCUCGAAUCUUCAUGAGAAGGAGAACCAAAAUAUAGUGCAAUAAAAGAAUGAUCAAUUCAUUUGUGCCUAUGAUAUGUUUGCAUAACUCGUUUUUCCGUAAUAUGGGAGACCUCAUGUAAUAUCCCGAUUAUUCCCAAAAUAUUGUUUGGCUAUAGUCGUACUACUACAUGUAGUAUAAAUGUCAAAUAUCCUAUUUCUUGGACAUUAUAUUUGAUAACUUUUGCAUGUAACAAUCAAUUCAUACUCAGUUUUGUUGCGUACACAAUAAUUUUCUAAAUCUUACAAAAUAUUUGGUUUUAAGCCUUACAAUCCAGGUUUGGGGUUGUUUUAGAAAAUUAUUGACAAUUCUAUUGGUCACAACUUAACAAGUUGCAAAAUUUCCCAAAUCAUCAGAUUUUAUGUGCACCACAUGUGCCAUAAGGGAAAUUAAUUUAAAGAACUCUCACCUUACAAUUCUAAAUGAGCCAACUCAUUCUUCCUUGAACACAUUUAGAAGAUAUGUGCAUUCUCAACCAUUGUGUGGUAUUUUAUAGAUACUUUAUGGUACUCAUUAAAACAUUUAUAAAAUGAUUUCUGGUGUGUCUCUUGUCACACAAACCAUGAAUGAUAUAACUAAAUCAAUUGCUCAAAUUCUCAAAGUAAGAGCAAGUUAUCCUAAACAAGGAAUAAAUCCAUUCGAAUGGAAAACUUUGUUGAACUCAUUUCACAAGAAAUAUCUGAUUAUAUAUAAUACUUUAUGUACAUACCCAAAAUUGUUUAGUUCAAUAUCUUAUCAAAGAUAGUGAAAUUAAUAAUAUGACCAAACUUAUAGAAUCAUGAUUUACUAGCCUCAUGCUAGACAAAUACGGCAUUACACACCAUAAGUAUGAUAUAAAUCAUACCAACUGCAUAGCAUACUACUUUCCCCUUUUAGUACUUACGUGGAAAUCAACAAAGUAUUUUCUAUCUGCGAUAAUUCGGUCACAUACCGAUAUCACCACUCCAGCAUACAUCAGUGGGCUCUCACAGAAAAUUAGGGAUCUAAGUGAGGAAUGACAAUUUAUCCGUCAAUCAAAAUUAUUCAUAGCCCGUAUGUUGAUUGCAUCAGCAAUAAGGACAUUUCUGGCAUUAGGGGGAGAUAAGUACCACAAAGAAUGCCAAGAAAUAAAUUAGGAAUGUUAUUCACAUUCAGUCCUUAUAUCCACGUACUCAAAGAAUCUGAACAAGAAGUUUAGAAUCACAUAUUUGCAACACAUUGCAAAUCUGCCACAUACAUUUACUGAUGACAAAGGUGCACUCAAUUUUAUAUUCCUGCAGUAAAGUGUCAGAAAGAGUGGAGGUACCUGAUAAACCACUCUUCUCCCAAAAUGAGAGCAAGAGGGGGAGAAAUCUGACCACACGAGAUAUAAUCUCGCAUAUGCUUCCAAGGAAAUAGAGGAAAUCAAAUCCUCAACUAGUAAAUGUAAUUCAACAUCAAGUUGAAAGACACCUCACUGGAUGCUCAUCAUCCAAAUCCUGACAUAAAUGUGCACAAAUGUUUUGGUGUCGGGACAUCGAAACACCUUGACUCGAUUGUUGUAGGAAAUCACAAGGAGUUAAAAGGAAUAAAUACAUUUCCACAAAUUUCAUCGGUUCCAUCAGAAUCAUAUAAAAUAAAGACUACAUUUGUCGACAUAUAUUUAUUCUCAAAAUUGCUAAAACCUUUUGGGCCCUGAACCAAAAUCCAUGGUAGAGUGCCUCUUGCACUCAUAUUGUUUCACAUAAAAUAAAGCAAGUAAUGAAGAAUAGCCUCGCUCUACAAAUGAGUGGUAUUUACCACAGUAAUACCUACUCCUCAUAAGUAUCUUCCAUAUGGAAUACUAAAAACUUCUCAUUCAUAGACAAAUUCAAUGAGGUGGUGAGAAAGCGAGGCUUGUAGCAAAAGGGUUCACGCAGAGACCCGACAUCAAAUUAUGAUGUAACAUACCCUCUUGGUAUGAGUGGAAUUAAGUUUCGAUAACAAAUAUCAUUGGCAGUACAAAUAAUAUUAUCCAUGUAGUUAAUGGAUGAAGUGACUACAUACUCAUAUGGGUUACUCAUUUCGGAAAUUUAUAACGAAGUACCUCAAGGGCUUACAAUUCCGAAUCCAAAAUAAAUCGCAACAUAUAUGUGUAAAAUUUCAGAAGUCACUCUAUGGCUUGAAAUAGUCGGAAAUCAUAUGGUACUACCGACUAAAUGAGUUCCUUCUUCAAAGGAUUACUCAAAGGAUGAUAAUUUGUUUAUGUGUUAAUAAAGGUAUCCCAAAUUUGAAUUCCUUAUAUCACCUCAGUGUAUAUCGAUGAUUUCAUCAUCAAUGUCUCUACAAGACCUAAACAUACACAAAAUCAUCUCAAGACGGAAAAUUUGGAUUUAACCAAAUUUAGCUUAAGUUUGCAACUUGAGCAUUCUAUCAAGAAUUAGUAUCAGCCUACAUAUAUCCAAAACAUAUACGAGAAGUUCAGUGUGAAUAUAUCAUAACAACAAAAGACAUGUAUGGUCAUACUACCUUUGAUAAGGUACAAAUCUAUUCAUACCUAGGGGUGAUAAUGAAGUGAUACUAGGACCUGAAGUUCUAUAUAUCACUAAUGUCAAAGCACUCAUAUACUUGCAAACUACGUCAGGCCUGACACUAUAUUUGCUAUCUUUAUUCAGAGUGCAACCCCCAACAAAAGGUAUAUGGUUGAUAUAAGUAAUAUCAUCUUAUAUCUGAAGAUUACACUAAAUAUUGAAUAUUUCCAUCAGGAAAUAGAGGAUAUGACCAUGAUAUGAUGUAAUGAUAUUGGCUCUUUAUUUGAUCCCAACGAUGCCAUAUCAAUGACUGAAUUUGCUGGAAUAGCCUUCACAUGGAAUUCAUAUAAAUGGAUUUUAGUGGUUAUUUUCAGUUAUCAUUCUAACAUAAUUGCUUUAUCUAAAGGCAUUGCAAAAUGUGCAUAACUUAGUAGAAUGGUUAACCACACUCAAAAUCAUGUGGUUGAGAUUCAUCAGAAUCACAUAACUUGAUUUAUCAAGAUACUUCCACUUGUGUUACUCAAUACCUAUAGGUUAUAUGAAGAGCAAUAUCAUAAAUCACAUUGCUCGGAAAUUACUUAGCCUCACGGAUUAUAGAAAAGUGAGGAAAUAAUUUGCAAACAUACUACUGUUAUAAUCCAACAGAUUAUACACAAUCUCAUGUUCAUGUCAAUGGAAUUGGUAUGAGACAUCCUUCAUAUUUGCAAAGUUCAGGGGGAGUACUCUCCCAAACUAUAACCUAUUAACAAUCAUCAGAUUGCAUAUAUUGUACUCUUUUUCCCUUGAUGAGUUUUCCCUAUUGGUUUCUCAUAAAAGGUUUUUAACGAGACAAUAUAAACACAAGUGUCUUUAUAUGCCAUAUCAUUUUCUCCUUGUAUUUUUCCCAUUGGGUUUUAAAGGAGUUUUCAAUGGCAUGUACAAUUGCACUUUUUCCCUUAUGUGUUUUCUCUCAAGUUUCUCAUAAUGGUUUUUAGUGAGGCAAUAUCUUCUCAAAGAUCAUAUGUCAUACUUUCUAUUUUCCCUACCAGGGUUUUUAAAGGAAGUACUCAAGACAUAUUAAUUUUUCUCUAAACUUAUCAGUGAGUUUUCUCCUUCUUCAAAGGAUUUCUCAUAUGAGUUAUCAAGAGACAAUGAUCAUCAUAUGUUGCAUCAUUUUCUCCUUAUUUUUCCCACAGGGUUUGAAGGAGUUUUAGCAACAUAUCUACUCUAUUCUCCUCAUAUUUUUCCCACACGGUUUUUGGGGGAGACUCUCAAGAUUAUCUGGAAGAUUUCUCAAGAUGGAAGAUAUAUAUGCAAGAAGCUUUCAACGAUUAAACAUUCAAGGAGCGGUGUUGUACAAGGGGGAGUGUUAGAAACUAAUUAGUAGAUUAAUUAGCCAAGGGAUGUGUCCAACCCCGAAUAGUUGUGUCUCCUCUCUCUCUCUAUUGCCAACAGGCACCUGUUCUGGAGGGAUGCCUCCGAACAGACACCUCUUCUUCGCACCUCUUCUAGAUGUAUAUAUACUUGAGAAUCAAUAGAAAUCAGGACUAAUCGUCCAUUCACUUUCAUUCAAUCUCGUUUUACUCUAACACGUUAUCAUGCACUUUGCUCUUCAUUAGAGAGAUUGGCUAAAACAGAGAAGAACGAGGAUGAACUAGGUAUUAGGCUUCAUCAAUUCACAAAUCAUUUUCGAACGGCAACAGGAAAGGAGGAACAGAGAAGGAGAUGAAGAAAGGAAUUGAAGAGAACACAAGAUCGCCAAAGACUAAAGUCUCCAUGGGAGACUAAACGAACAUCUUGAUCUCUAAUUGCAGCAGGCCCUCAGGCACGGCCGCAGUUCCUUUUCGUAGGAGAUCAAAUGAAUACAGAAGUCUUGAUCUAAUUGCUACUCUACAAUAACAAGGUGUCCCUCUUCCUAAUCUAAUACUGCACGUAGGACGUAGCACAUAAUAAACAAUCUUAGAAUUAUCUCUGGCCUUAGCCAUGGAAGGGUCGAAUGCCUUGCGCAUGCAAAGGCUGCUCUUAGGGNAGCUGAAGAAACUUUUAUGGGCACGAUACUCAAGCGACCCUCUUUUGUGACUCAUGCAGGCGAUUUGCUAGGGAGUCGCUCAUUUCCUUGGCAGCUGCAAGCUCGAAGAUGACCUAUGCCUAAAUAAACAAGAUACAGAAAGAUAACAACCCGGUGGCACAACUUCGUGGGACGACCACAUCGACCAAGGCAAUGUUAUGCUGGCCAAAACAAUGCAAAGGCAGCAGUGCUUUUCCAAUCACGGAGUCUACCAGAGCUUAGAGGAGCCGGCGUUUCUAAGCACAUGAGACAAGAGGAACAGAUUCAGAUUCCUUCCGAACUCAAGGAUCAGGCUUAUUUAUCAGUUAAUAGCAUGAGACGGAGUCCUGAAAGAUUAGCAAACAACACUACAGCAACUUGUGUGCCAUCACUACUCUGAUCAAAACCUAAGACAAAAAGCAAAGUACACUGAUCAUAUCGGUGAGGCUACACAUCUGCAUUCACCCGAUAAAAAUCUCAGGUGAUAUUCAUCCUAUCUUUUUUUUCACCUACAUAUUAAUUCAUCCGAGAACGAUUACUCUAGCGUAUAGUAUUUUUUACGCAGGACAAUUAUUCAUUACAAAAGCGGUGGCAUAUUGCGAGUAUGAAGCUCGUGUCAAUCAAAGCCACGGGUGACUCACUAUCCUUGUCGGCCUACAAUGUCAUGGGCGAUUCACCGUCUGCGGCGGUCUACAACAACACGGGCAACUCACCGUCCAAGGCGGCUUAUGCUACUGCAAAAAAAGAGCUUCCAACGGCGCUAGAAAUAGGAGUAUUUACGGCGCCAGAAAUCCUUCUGCUACGGCUACGCCUUAAGGGACUUCCUAGGCAUAUAUGCAAAGGAUUUCCCCGUGGCCUUGGAGCCUUGUGUUGGUGUUCCCUCGAAGCGUAAAGGGUGAUGUAGCGCAGUGGUGGUAAGUAUUUCCCUCAGUUUUGAGAACCAAGGUAUCGAUCCAGUGAAGGAGUAUCACAAGAGCCUGCACAAACACAAAAAGCUUGCUCCCAACGCUAUGAAGGGGUUGUCAAUCCCUUAUAGAUUGUUCACCAAGUGAAAACUGAAAGCAACAAAGUAACAAAGCAAAGUAAAAGCGAAAGUGGAAACGAUAGGUGUGAAUAGACCCGGGGGCCGUAGUGUUUCUAGUGGCUUCACUCAUGAAAGCAAGUAGACGAUGGGUGAACAAAUUACUGUCGAGCAAUUGAUAAAACCGCGCAAAGUCGUGACGUCAUCUAUGGCAAUGAUAAUAUCUAUAGGCAUCACAUCCAAAACAAGUAGACCGAUACUUUAUGCAUCUACUACUAUUACUCCACACGUCGACCGCUAUCCAGCAUGCAUCUAGUGUAUUAAGUCCAAAAGAACAGAGUAACGCCUUAAGCAAGAUGACAUGAUGUAGAUGGACAAUCUCAUAUCAACGACAAAGCCCACCUUGUUACCCUUGAUGGCAACUACUCAAUGUGUGCCUUGCUGCCCCUACUGUCACUGGGAAAGGUCACCACAUGGUAAGAACCCAAAACCAAGCACUUCUCCCAUUGCAAGAAUCAUAGAUCUAGUUGGCCAAACAAAACCCAAGACUCGGAGAGACUUACAAGGAUAUCAAAUCAUGCAUAUAAGAAAUCAACAAAGACUCAAAUAUAUAUCAUAGAUAAUCUGAUCACAAAUCCGCAAUUCAUCGGAUCUCGACAAACACACCGCCAAAGAAGAUUACAUCGGAUACAUCUCCAUGAAGAUCAUGGAGAACUUUGUAUUGAAGAUCCAAGAGAGAGAAGAAGCCAUCUAACUACUAACUACGGACCUGUAGGUCUGAAGUGAACUAGUCAUGAGUCAUUGGAGGGGCGAUGAUGAUGAUGAUGAAACCCUCCAACUCCAAAGUCCCCUCCGACAGGGCACCGAGAAGGGUCUCCAGAUGAGAUCUCGCGGAAACGAAAGCUUGCGGCGGCGGAAAAGUAUUUUCGUGGCUCCCUUGAUUUUUUUUAUGAUUUUUAGGGAAUAUAUAGGUGCAAGAUCUAGGUCAGGGGGGCGCCAGGGAGGCCACAAGCCUGCCCACCGCCGCAUCCCCCCUGGUGGCGGAGUGGGGGCUUGUGGGCUCCCUGUAGCCCUCCUGGCUUGGCCCACAGGCCCCCUGAUCUUCCUUCGUUCGGGAAAAAAUCAUUUCAGGGAUUUUAUUCCGUUUGGACUCUGUUCCAAAAUCAGAUCUGAAAAGAGCCAAAAACACAGAAAAAACAGGAACUGGCACUUGGCACUGAAUUAAUAAGUUAGUCCCAAAAAAUAUAUAAAAGGUACAUAAAACAUCCAAAGAUGACAAGAUAACGGCAUGAAACCAUCAAAAAUUAUAGAUACGUUUGAGACGUAUCAGCUUACAAUGACGCGGCCAACUCUCAUGUCCGCGUGACCAGGGCGACUUACAAUGACACGGCCAACUCUCACGUCCGUGUGAUCAAAGAUGGAUUACAAUGACACAACCGAUGCUCGGGUCCAUACAACUCUCGCAUUCCAUAUCAACAAGUCGGUGCAGUGCUCGCCUUUACGAGCCAGCCAACAGACGGACACAAGACACCUCUCCCAUGGUCCGUUUGAUAUUAACUCACCGGUGCAGUGCUAGCCUGUAUGAGCCGCCCAACAGACUGAUGCAAAACGCCAGCCCCGCGGUCCGGAUGACAUCAACAUAUCGGUGCAGUGCUCGCUUGGAUGAGCCGCCCAACACACACGCGCAAACUGCCGUCUGUUCUCCAUCAAAUAUAUCGGUGCAGUGCUCACCUAUGCGAGCCGCCCAACGGACACAUGCAAGUCGCCUCUGCGGACCAUCUCCCCCAACAACAUUGGAGCAAAGAAAAAAAUGACAUUCAUGUCUUACACAUCAUCACCAAAACACGGACCAGCUCUAAACUUGCGUCGGGUUGCUCAAUGAAUAGAAACAUUGGCCAAUGCUAUCUAUUUCAGGAUAUCAAAAGUAACACGAGAGUUUGUCAUGAAGGAUCCAUCCCUGAUGAAGCUACAGUUGGAGCCAGUCAUCAUUGAGCCGACAAUUCAAAGCAAUAGAAAAAGAAAAGGAAAGUGGCCUUGGAGGAACCGCGAGAGCCGGACUACCUGAGAAAUAAGCAUGGGUCAAAAGUCCAUUAUUCACCAUCAACCCUAUCUCGGUUUAUGUCACAAUCAAGUAUGGACAUUCUCAAGCCGCCUCCUUGAAGUCGACUUAAGACUCGGGGGCUACACAGGCAUAGACUCGGCAGAUUCAACCGGGCUGAAUAAUUCAAGAACCACGGGUCAUUAAAGGAAAAUUAAGCCGGUCUCGAGGGCUGAUGCCUCAUUGACGAGAAGAUUUAAAGAUCACCUAAGAAGACAAGUCGCCAUGAUGCGACCACCCAAACAUGGGUGCCCGACCUUAUUGGCGGAUGAUUCAUAAGUCGCCAAAGAGGAUGGCGCUACCAGUAUCAAAGAGGGUGAGCCGCCAUAUUGCACUCGUCCAAACAUGGGUGCUGGUAAGCCAAGGAGGACCAAACAGUUGCCAUGAGCAUGGUUCAAACAUAGGCACCCAAUUAUGUUCUUGAGAAUUAACUCGGCUUACUUGGGGGCUACUAGCUUCCCAAGUCGUUUUGCAGUAAGAGCGUAAACUUCUGCAAUCCUAUGCUCGACUUUUCCCUGAUCAUAGGUCAUUUGGGGGCUUCCGACUCACUGAGUUUAGCCUGAAUACCCUCUUGGCUAGCGAAAAUUUAUCGCAUUACAAUGGUUAUAUUGGACCGUAUGUUUGGCGACUCACCCUUCACGCCCCUUAGAAAUCUUGGCGUGCCAAUCCAAAUUGGACCCUGAACUCCCAACGUUAAAACGAGUGGAGCUGGUGGGAGUCGGCAUAUGGAAAAUAGACAAACCAUGGGUUCACUGAACCUUCUUCACUAAAGCUUGACUCGCGCCUGAUUAGCCGGUCUAAACAACUAAGGUUGUUGCAAAAGCCUCUUUAGGGUAGCACUAGAGCAUUGCAAGCUCAUCCUACCCUGCCGUGACUCACUGAGCCGGCCGUCCUGACUCACUGAGCCGGCUUAACCUGUUUUGGGUACCACUAGAGCCUUGAGAGCUCGACCUACCCGCCGUGACUCACUGAGCCGUCUGCCAUGACUUACUGAGUCGGUUUAUUUAAAAUAAUUUGAUGACAUACUAUGGUGUUGCCACCAUUAUUCUAUCAUAUACAUGCAUCAUAUUGCACUGCAUCAUGCAUCAUACAUACAUAUCAUGACGGUCUUAAACCAGGUCAAAGCAUAAUUUUUUGCAUGAGCAAAUAUAUCUUUAAUAGCCAAUUUGGUUGGAUUUUCAUCAUCAUUCAUCAUAACCAGUGUUAAAUGAUUGGGGUUUUUAAGCCAGCUAGGAAGAAUUGACUAUUAUCGAAGAGUCGCCCUAUCACAUAUAAUGUCGGGUCAUCUAAUUGACCGGCUCUUUGAUUUCUUCAACUUGUGCUCUGUAGUAAACUACAACACUUAUGGAUUUCUCAACCAUGUAUUUGUGGGGUUACAUUGCAACCACGGCCAAGGAUUUCUUUCACCACAAAGGUAUCAUGAGAGUGGAUAUGAUUCUACAAUGGAAGGAAUAGUCCCAAGUCACUGCAGGCACACAACUCGGCACUUGGGGGCUACAUUACUCAAAUCAAGAUUACAUUGAAGUAUGGAAGUCCCAUGUCGCUGCAAGCAUGCACCAUGACACUUGGGGGCUAAUGCAAACUGCUCUUUCAAAUCAUCACAUCAUGAAUAGACCCGGCUAUUUCAAGGAGAUAAGCCGGCCCUGGGGGGGCUACAGGUCGCUCUUUAUUCAAGUAUGGAUUCAACGAAGAACCGGCUCAUCAUUUUUGUAUUGAUCCGGCCCUUGGGGGCUACGCAUUGCCCCUCAAGUUUACAUAGUCAGAUCUACAAAGUCCCUCCUCAAUGUUGCAUAAUGACCCGACCCUUCGGGGCUACAUCAUAUGAUGUUUUAUUUUCAAAGGAGAAGAACGUGGAAGUCCCGAGUCGUCGCAAGCAAUCGACCCGUCACUUGGGGGCUACACUAUUCGGAUCAUAAUUUCUAAAGUCCCAGGUUGUUUUAGGCAAGACAACCCGGCACUUGGGGGCUACAGCACUAAGUUGUUUCAUAGAUCAUGAGGUUCAAAUUGAAGACGCAGACCAUCACACACUGAUGACCUGGCCCUUGGGAGCUACACCAGCUGAAGCUUUAUAAAUGUAAGAUGAUUACAAGUCCCAGGCUGCUGCAAGGAAGACAACUCGACACUUGGGGGCUACAUGGUCAAAGAUAUUAUUGAAAAACACCAAAUCACCAUAAACUGAUAAACUUGGAGUUUGGGGGCUACAGGUAAUAUGGAUAUAUCAAAAAAUUGAAGAGCACAUUUCAUUUCGUCAUGGAGGUGAAGUACUGAGAGACUGGAUCAACAUAUUUUUAUCUAGUUGAAGAAUUGAAAGACCGGCUCAACAUCACACGGAUUUCUUUAUCCCCAAUAAUUCGAUAUAGUCAAUUGGAGUUCAGUUGUUUGAUGGGGCAUUACCAAUAAUCAUGACCCGCCAUUAGCAAUCAUGACCUGCCAUUGUCAAUCAUAACCUGCCGAAGCAAGAGAAGUCAGUUCAACAUUGUGUGGAUUUCUUAUUCCCCAAAUUUUCAUCAAGCCAAAGUAUUGGAGGCCGAUUCAAUGGCAUAUGUAUUUUAUUAUGGAGGACACGUACCUGCAAAAUGAUUUAGGACAGUUCAAAGAACAAACCCAGAUUUUUCAAGGAGCCACUCAGUAAAUCAAGCCGGCCAGAGGAGCAAACCGGUCCCUUAACAUAUUUAUUAUUCUUAUUUCAGGAGCUUACCAUGAAUAGAUUCAAGCUAACCUGGGGGCUAAUGUCGGGGAUAUACCCCGCAGUGUAACCCGACUUGAAGUAUGACCCGCCAAGGACUUGGCGACACACCAGUGACUCAUAUUUGACCCCGCAGGCGACUCACACAAACGACAAAGGCCCAAGGCCCGGCAUGCACCAUGGCAUAAGGCGGCUCAUAGCCCAAGAGGGCCGGCUCACAAGAGAAGGCCCAAGAAGGGGAAAGACUCCCACAAGAAGGAAACAAGACCUGAAUUAGGAUUCAAGAGAGACUAGUCCUAUUCCUACUCCUAGUAGGACUCUACAUGUAAACCUACCCCUUCCACCUAUAUAAGGAGGGGUAAGGUGCCCCAAGAGGGACAAGAUUCACAACUUAGGUCUAGACAAGACAAAUCAUGAGAUAGAUAGAUUAGACACCCACGAGAUUAGAGGUGUUGAGUCUGCACCCUUGUAAUCGAGAUCAUCAUCUUCAUUAAUGAAACACAAGCAGGACGUAGGCUUUUACCUCCAUCAGAGGGGCCGAACCUGGGUAAACUCGCAUCUCUCAAUUCCGACCAACCCCUCUCAAGCCACCACAUGGUUGUGAUGGCCUCACACCUAAGUUCUCUCACAAGGACAUAUGUCGUGACAAAAUCACUACAGCAGCCAAACAACCAGGGCUGCUUGCAGAGCAACCCCAAGCAGCUGAAUACUGGUCAGUACCGUGUUUUCAGCACCAACACGUGCAAAAGGGACAAGAAAGUCAAAUAGAGGGCGAUAAACAUGGCAGAGCCGGCGGUUCCCAGAUAUCUCAAUUGGUCUGAAUAGCCCAUCACAUGGAGUAGAGCCAAUCACCCACCCCAGGUUGAUAACCUUAGCGACUUAGCAUUGGUGGUGGCGCCACAGGUUGGGGGAUCCACCCUCUCCAAGAUUCUCAUGGAUGGAGGCAGCAGCAUCAACAUCUUGUAUUAUUGAUAACUUCCGGCGAAUGAAUUUUUCCGAGAGCGACUUGAUGUCGUUGACCACGAUCUUUCAUGGCAUUGUCCCAGGCAAGUCAGUGUAUCCAUUUGGGCGGAUCAAGUUAAAUGUGGAUUUUGGUGAUGAAUAUUAUUAUAGGAGCGAGGCUCUGAUGUUUGAGGUCAUCAAGAUCAAGAGUCCUUAUCAUGCUCUGUUGAGCGGUCGGCUUACGCCCGCUUCAUGGUCCGACCCUGCUAUAUGCACCUCAAGCUCAAAAUGCUGGUUCUUAAAGGUACUAUCAGAAUCAAUGGGGACCGAAAGAUAGCAUGGGAAUGCGAAGAAGGAGACGUUGCCUACGCUGAGUUGGCAUGCGCUGCUGAAGAGUUGAAGUUUCACAAAGCCAAUGUAGACCCAGCUGACAUGAGUCCGCUCAAAAAACCAACUGUUGAUUCUGAGCCUCCCCUCAAGUUCAAGCCGGCAGAUGACACCAAGCAAGUUGGUUUCACCCCAGGCGACUCUUCUAAGAAGUUUACUAUUGGGACAGGCCUCGGUCCCAAAUAGGAAAGCGUUCUCAUCGAGUUCAUCCGUGAGAAUAGGGACAUCUUUGCAUGGAAGCCUUCUAACAUGCCAGGAGUACCGAGAGAAUUCGUUGAGCACCACCUCAAUGUGGAUCCCAAGAUGAAGUCGGUCCAACAGUACCUCCGUCGUUUUAACGAGGAGAGACGCAACGAAAUUGGGGAAGAAGUCCCCUGCCUCUUAGCCGCCCGCUUCAUCAUCGAAGUUUUUCAUCCUGAGUGGUUGGCUAACCCGGCCUUAGUUCUCAAGAACAACGACACUUUUCGCAUGUGCAUAAAUUAUACAGAUCUCAACAAAGCUUGCCCGAAGGAUCCUUUUGCCCUCCCCCGUAUCGAUUAAAUCAUUGACUCUACGGCGGAUUGUGAUCAUUUGUGCUUUCUGGAUGCGUACAAUGGUUACCACCAGAUCAUGAUGGCCAAAGAGGAUCAGGAGAAGACGGCUUUCAUAACUCCCUACGGCGCUUUCUGCUAUGUGUCUAUGCCCUUUGGUCUUAAGAGUGCGGGGGCGACUUAUCAAUGCUGCAUUCACUGUUUGAACAGUCAGAUUGGGCGCAAUGUUCAUGCCUACGUGGAUGAUAUCAUGGUGAAAUCCCAGAAGAAGGAGAUGCUUUUAAACGAUCUCAAGGAGAUGUUUAACAACCUUUGUGUGUACCUAAUGAAGCUUAACCUGGCCAAAUGUGUUUUGGAUGUUCCUGCAGGCAAGUUAUUGGGCUUCCUGGUGUCAGAGCGAGGUAAUGAAGCUAACUCGGAUAAACAAUCAAGGCAAUAACCUUGCUUGGUAAGCUGGCCAACAUCAACCAAGUCCAGCGCAUGGCGGGUCGUAUUGCGGCGUUGAGCCGUUUCAUAAGUCGCCUCGGUGAGAAGGACAUUCCCCUUUACCAGUUGCUCAAGAAAACGGAUCAUUUUGUUUGGACGGAUGCGGCCAACGAAGCUUUUCAAGCCCUCAAGAAACAACUUGUUGAGCCGCCUGUUUUAGCCGCCCCGACAGAUAAGGAACCUAUGCUACUUUACAUUGCUGCUAAUUCAAAGGCAGUAAGUGUGGUGGUGGUUGUUGAGCACAUGGAAGAAGGCAAAGAAUAUCUGGUUCAGCGGUCGGUGUAUUUUGUUAGUGAGGUGUUGACUUUGUCUAAUCAAUGGUACCCGCAUUGGCAGAAGCUAGUCUUUGGGAUUUUUAUGGCAAGCCGGAAGUUGAAGCAUUACUUUCAGGAGCACCCAAUCACUGUGGUCAGUUCAACGCCAAUUGGGGACAUUAUACAGAACCGCAAAGCUACUAGGUGGAUUGCUAAGUGGGCAAUUGAGCUUGGUCCCUGCCAUGUGAAGUAUAUGCCUCGCACGGCUAUCAACUCUCACGCUUUGGUGGAUUUCAUCAAUGAUUGGACCGACAUGCAGAUUCCAGAAGAGAGACCCGAUAACACGUACCGGACUAUCCACUUUGACGGUUCUAGGCAGUUGGAAGGCUCGGGAGCUGGCGCAGUGUUAUCUUCCCCAUGAGGUGACAAGUUUUGCUAUGUCUUGCGCCUCAUGUUUCCUUGCACCAACAACGCGGCUGAGUGUGAGCCUCUGCUCCAUGGGCUUAGAUAAUCUAAGGAGAUGAACCUCAGCCUGUUCAGAUGUUUGGGUGACUCAGAUUUAGUGGCUCAACAAGUCUCUAGAACUUGGGACUCCAAAGAUCCACUCAUGGCGGCUUAUAGGCAUGCAGUAACCGAGGUGGCGGGUCAUUUUAACGGCUACGAGGUUGAUCAUAUUGAUCUUGAACAGAAUGAGGCGGNNNNNNNNNNNNNNNNNNNNNNNNNNNNNNNNNNNNNNNNNNNNNNNNNNNNNNNNNNNNNNNNNNNNNNNNNNNNNNNNNNNNNNNNNNNNNNNNNNNNUUUUUCUUGCUUGACAAGAUAUGGUUCCCGACAUUCCGUGACUAAGGAACAAACAAAAUGCAAAGAAAAAUCGACAGGAAUUUCAAUGCCACCUUGAUUCAAAUUCUUUAUAGUUGAAGAAGUCAUGCUAUGUUCUCAUCAUUGAUUUUAAAUGGAUGAAUUUGAAUUUACAGGAAAAAGGGGAAAAUCAUUUUAUUCCCUCUCAUUCAAAAGUUUUGAAAAAUUUCAAACUUCACUCAAGUUUCAAUCACUCAAACAAACAAACNNNNNNNNNAUCUAAUAAUUAUAUUAACAUUCCAAAAUUUGGGAUGUUACACCCAACUACUGGAAAUCAUUAAGGUAAGCCCAACCAUAGCGUUAAACAUACAGUCCUCUUUACUCCCAUACAGGCACAACUCCCUUACUCGGAUGUAAGUUUCUUUCACUCUCGCCAACCACUAUAAGUGAAUCAUGAAUAUAUUGCAAACCCUUCAGCGUGUAUCCUUCAUGUGUGUGCAUCACUAAAAGCACCUUAUCAAUACACAACCCAUAUCAAAAACACCAUCUCACAAUUAACCCGUAGGACAAAACGGAUAUACUCAAACAUCAUAGGAUAACCAUAUAUCAUUGCGAAAUAGUAUGUAGCAUUGGGCAUCAUGUUUAAGUACAGAGUUACAUUGUGAAAAUAUGUGUUAUACCGCUGCAUAGAGGGGGAGAGAUUGGAAUUGAAGGUGGCAAGAUUGUUGUUGUAGAUUACCAUCAUGCUCCUUGCCCCGGCGGCACUCCGGCGCCACCAUGAGAGAGGGGGCAGAGCCCGCUCCUUCUUCUUCUUCCUUGGACUCCCCCUAGAUGGGAGAAGAGUUCCUCCUAUCGCCCAUCGCCUCAAUGGCGGCGGAGGGGCAGGAGCCCUUCCAAGAUUGGAUCUCCCACUCUGUUCUCUUUUGUUUCACAUUCUUGUUUUCUCGCCCUUCACUGUUUAUUAAAUUCCUGGAGAUCCGUAACUCCGACCGGGCUAAAAUUUUCAGGGGAUAUUUAUCCAUAAAUUAGGUUUCUUGUUCUCCAAGGAGAGCCACAACUGACUUAAGGGGUGCCCACUCGACACCACCCCGCGCCAGGGGUCCCAGGCGCACCCUGGUGUCAAGUGGAGGUCAUGGGCCUCCGUUUUCCUUGGUUCCACCUCCCAAAAAUCACAUAUAUUCCAAAAUAAUUAUUUGUAAAUUUUUAUCGCGUAUGGACUUCAUUUGAUAUGGAUAUUUCGAUAAACACAAAAAACAUGUGACAAACAGGAACUCGCACUUGGCACUGGAUCAAUAUGUUAGUCCAAUAAAUCAUAUAAAUUGUUGCCAAAAAUAUGUGAAAGUUGUAUAAUAUUGACAUGGAACAACCAAAAAUUAUAGAUACGACGGAGAUGUAUCACCAUCCCCAAGCUUAAUUCCUGCUCGUCCUGGAGUAGAUAAAUGAUAAAAAAGAUAAUUUUUAAUGUGGAAUGCUACCUAGCAUGAUCUUGAUCAUAUAUCUAAUCAUGGCAUGAAUAUUAAGAUACAAGUGAUUCAAGGCAAUAGUCUAUCAUUUGACAAAAAAAGGCAUCCAUACCCAGGUUUACUAGCAAACAGUCAUGUCCUUUCAAAAUAACAAUGCUAAAUAAAGCUAUCCGUACAAAAUCAUAUAGCCUAUCAUGCUUGGUCUUCCUAGCAUAAGGUAUAAAUCAUGAUCACCCUAGUGUCAAAUCAAGCAAUUGGAUCGUUGUUUUUAACGCGCUUCAGCUUUUUAUUACUCACUCGAUACAUGAGCGUGAACCAUGGAUAUAUCAUAAAGGUGGAAUAGAAUUUCGUGGUAGGUUUCAAAGGGGGUAAAAGUGAAGAAGAAAGUCUCGCAUCAACUCAGCAUAUCAACGGGCUAUGAAGAUGUCCAUCAAUAGAUAUCAAUGCGAGGAGUAGGGAUUGGCAUGCAACGGAUGCACUAAGAGCUAUAAGUGUAUGGAAUCUCAACGUGAAAACUAAGUGGGUGUGCUUCAAACUCUAAUUAAAAAUUCCCAAUAGUUUAUGAAAGUGACAACAUAGGAGACUCUCCAUAUGAAAAACAUGGUGCUACUUUGAAGCACAAGUGUGGAAUUUGCAUGCUCCUUCUCUUUUUUCUCUCAUUUUUUCUUUCUUUCUCUUNNNNNUUCUCUUUUUUUGUGGUGGGAUCAUUUGGCCUCCCCCAUUUUUCAUUUUUCGUUCGGAGUCUCAUCCCGACUUGUGGGGAAAUCAUAGUCUCCAUCAUCCUUUCCUCACUGGGAAAAUUCUCUAAUAAUGAUGAUAAUCACGCUUUUAUUUACUUACAACUCGAUACCUAAAACAAAGUAUGACUCUAUAUGAAUGCCUCUAGCAGUGUACCAAGAUGUGCAGUGAUCUAGCGUAGCAAAAUAUUAUAAAAAAUGAACAAGCCAUGUAAAUAUCAUGCUAGCUAUCUUAUGAUCAUGCAAAGCAAUGUGAUAGUGGAAGUACAAGUCAUAUGAAGUGACGGCAGAGGUUGCAUGGCAAUAUAUCUAGGAAUGGCUAUGGAAAUGCCAUAAUAGGUAGGUAUGGUGGCUGUUUUGAGGAAGAUAUAAUAAGGCUUAUGUGUGAUAGAGCGUAUCAUAUCACGGGGUUUGGAUGCACCUGCGAAGUUUGCACCGACUCUCGAGGUGAGAAAGGGCAAUGCAUGGUACGGUAGAGGCUAGCAAAUUGCGGAAAGGUAAGAGUGUGUAUAUCCAUGGAUUUACAUUAGUAACAAAGAACUCACAUACUUAUUGCAAUAUUUUAUUAGCUCACUCGAAGCAAAGCACUACUCGCAUGCCCCUAGGGGGAAGGUUGGGAGGAGUUAACCAUCGCGUGACUCCGAUUAUAACAGCACAAAGCAUUUCAAUCAAGGAUAAAUUAUGCUCCAACUCCAUCGCGUAACCAGAGAUUAUAUGUGCAUGCUUCAGGAAUCACAAACCUUAACAUCAAUAUUCGUACUAAUCCAUCAUCAUCAACUAGUGCACCCACAUAUUUCUAUCAUAAUGUCGCAAAACUAUUACCAGGAAUCAAAAACAUCAUACUCAGUGCUCUACAAGUUUUAUGUAGGAUUAAUGCCUAACCAAGUAAAUGACCAAUUCCUUUUGACUCUCUAAAUAGAUAUAAGUGAAGCAUGAGAGUUUAGUUAUUUCUACAAAAGACCACGCUCUAAUAAAUAUAAGUGAAGCAGAAGAGCAUUCUACAAAUAACGGUUUUCUAUAUAUAGAGAAACACGCAAUCCAAACAUCAAAUGAGAUAAGUGAAGCACAUGAAGCAUUCUAUAAGACCAUACUCAAAAUAUAUAAGUGAAGUGCAAUGAGCAUACUAUAAAUCAACAAUGGACUAUCUCAUACCAGCAUGGUGCAUAAAAUACAAGUGAAAACUAAACACAAAAGUUGCUCCAACAUUUACGCAUAUCGCAUGAACAAAACAAAGCCGAAAACAUACCGAUAUUGUUGCAGUACGAUGGGAUGCCUUCCGGGGAAUACCCAACCUUAGACGCUUGAGUCUCCUUGGAUAUUUACUUGGGGUGACUUGGGAAUUACCAAUCUUGAACUCUUGCCUCUCCUCCAUCUCCUCAUAUAGAGACCUCCUCGAACUUCGAACACUUGAUCCACACAAAACUUAACAGAAAACUAAUGAGAUCCAUUAGUAUAAUAAUGCAAAUUACUACCUUAAGUAGUGUUUAAAACCCAUUAAUAUUUUGUUUUUCUAUUAUAGCUACUAUAAUAUAACUUCCCCCUCGCUUCUACCAUUGAUACAAUCGAUAGUCUCAUCAAAACAAGCAAAAUAAUGCAUCAAAAACAGAAUUUGUCAAAAAUAGGACAGGCUGUAGUAAUCUUAACAUUGACAUAUACUUCAGUAACUUCAAAACUUAUGAAAACUUAGGACGAAAUAGGAAAUUUCCAUAGCAUUACUGUUUAUUUUUUUAGGAACUUUCGACAGUCGAGUAAAAAAUGUAAAUUCAUGCACUACAGCCAAAGUUUCUGUUUUUACACCGCACAUACCAACAAGCAAUCUAAUCAUCCUAAAUGCAAAUCUUGUCACAUUAUUUUUAUAAUACAAUGGACUUUUACAAGGAAAUAAUUAUUUUUGUAGAAAAUUUUAUGUAAUCAAGAUUCAUAAUAUAUCCAUGGGCAUGAACAAAGUUCAAGUCUAGCACCCACAUCAACGAUGCUCGUCCUUCUCACUUUCACUUUUCUUUUUGAAAAGUUUUAAGUUCCCCACUUUAUUUCCCCCCCCCCCCCCCCUGUUUUUAAAUAUUUCAAAAGAACAAAACAUAAAUAAAUGGCUCUCUAAAACCUUCGGGUUGUCUCCCUAGCAGCUCUUUCUUUAAAUCCAUUAAGCUAGGCAUAAAAUGCUCAAGUAAUCGGUCCACCAGGAUCCCAAGGUAUAUCAAAGCUAAUUUUAAUUAACAAUGAUUUGUAAUUUAGUAGCGAGCACAAAGCAAUAUAUAUCAUGCAAUGAUGAAGUCUAACUCUCUUCCUAUGCAUCGACAUGUCAUAAAAGAACAAUUCAUGCACAUCAGGUAAAGGCCAAUACAUACCAUAAGCAGUUUCUUGCAAUUUUCUCAUGUUGGAAACAUAAGGGGGUGGAGAUGUAGUUCCUCUAUCAUAACAAUUGCAAGUAUGAGCAGCAAGCACAUGAAUAUUAUAUCCAUCAAAAUCAUCAUGUGAAGUGGUAAAACGCAACCCAUCAAUAUAAUCCUUAAUAAGUGCAAACUUCUCUUAUAUAGUGUAGUUGGUAGAAUUCAAAAAUAUAAAGGACUAUCAUGUGUGGGUGCAAUAUUAAAAAUUGCAUGCCUAACAUAAGGAACUACAACAGAUUCAUCUUCAUAGAAGGGCCGGUCCUGAGAUCUCGGGGGCUCGGGGAAAACUUUAACCUGGGGCCUAUAAUAUAAAUACCAAUAAUAAUAAUCGAUGUAUGCCCCCCCCCCCCCAUAUAUAUAAUGUUACCAAGAAACACUUAAAAUGUUCUGAAACAGUUCCAUAUAAGAUAACUUACCAAUACUACCUUAAUAAAAAAACUAAUUUUUUUUGAAUACGUACUUGGAUGACCUAAAUGUGAUAAAUUUUAAAAAUAUAUUGAUUAAUUCAAAACUAGUGUGGACUUACAAAGGUACGUACUAGAAAAACUCAAUUAAAUCUUAGUGAUUAUGAAGUUCAACUCAUAAAGAACACAUCUCUGAUAUAUACUUAUCCGUAAAAAUAUCCAAUCAAUCCAUUAUGAAUGACUCUAUGUAAACAUAUAGAAUUCAAAUAUAUAAGAUGUUACUGAUAAACAUUUAAAUCAACCCAAAAAAUAUUUUCAAAUGAAAUAAUGUAUACAUACAAUGCAGAAAAAAUGGCAUCAAAAGUUAAACGGCGAAAUAUAUGCAUCAUACGAAGGUCAAUUACUUACUUAGCCAUGUACAUAUAGGUGCGUCGGAUGGGUCAUAUUCUUGUUGGUGAUCGCCUUUUUUUAUGAGGGACUUGUAGGUGAUCUCCUGACUAAGCGCUCAGCCAUGACUCAAUGUAGAGUGGCGUGUGUGUCAAUGCGUGUUUGCUCGACGAUGAGGCCAUGAGGAGGUAUGGACAGCCACGUGGAGUGGAGAUCGGAGAGCGACGCUUGUGAAAUGACAACCGCCGAACAGACAUGAAUAGGGCAUGAUGGCGUCACAAAGAGAUGAACUCGUGCUUUGAUCUGAGAUGUAAAUUAGGAAACCAAAACAGAGAUUUGUGCGUACGAGGCUAUAACUGUGAGAUAGCGGACGAGGAGUCAUGGAACUGCGUGACAGCCUAACGAUUAAAUGAGCCGCUGCGUGCCCAACUCAUGGGCAAUGUGUAGUUUCGACGGGCUGGCUGGGCUGCCAUAGGUGUGUGUAUGGGUUGCCUACUUACCCAGGUGGGGGCCCUGAAUUUUGGGGGCCUGGGGCGGCCACCCCCUGCCCCCCCUCAAAGCCGGCCCUAUUUCAUAAGCAUAAUUCAUAUUGGCAUCAUGGCCACAAUCAUAGAAAGCAUCAAGUUCAUUAAAAAGGGAUAUUUCAAAUGAAUCCAAGGGAUCAUAGCAAUCAUCAUAGCAUUCUUCCUUUGGUAUGUGAAAGGGAAAUUAAACAAUGUAUGAGUUGAAAAGUUACUUUUAUUAUAAGGUAGGCACGGGUAGCUAAUCCGCUCUUCCUCGUUUUGUUCUUGAAUCUCCUCAUCAUCUUUUUCAUCCACUGAGCUCACAGUAUCAUCAAUUUCUUCUUCCAUAGACUCCUAGAAAAUAUUAGUCUCUUCCAAGGCAUCCAUCUUUUUUUCAAUAAAUUCAUUAAUAUCAGCAUUGUAUUCAUAAUUAUUGUAGCAAUAUUGAAGUAUGGAAAAAAAUUAGAUUUGUAAGGAACAUCAUCAUACUUUUCAAGAAAAGAAGCAAUUUCAUAAGCACCUUUAAAAGCAACAACAUUGAGCUAGUCUUAGAGGCGAGAUUGAUACGUCUCCAUCGUAUCUAUAAUUUUUGAUUGUUUCAGGCCAAUAUUCUACAACUUUCAUAUACUUUUGGCAACUUUUUAUACUAUUUUUGGGACUAACAUACUGAUCCAGUGCCCAGUACAGUUCCUGUUUGUUGCAUGUUUUUGUUUCGUAGAAACUCCAUAUCAAGCAAAGUCCAAACGAGAUAAAAACUUACGGAGAUUUUUUGGAAUAUUUGUGAAUUUUGGGAAGUGCAAUCAACAAAAGGCGGUGCCCAAGGGGGCCACAAGCCAUAGGGGCACGACCUGGGUGGUAGGUUGCGUCGGGCAGGCUUGUGUCCACCCCGUAAGGCAGUUUGUGCCCUUCUAUCAUCGCAAGAAAGCUAAUUUCCAAAUAAAUAUCGUGUUAAAAUUUCAUCCCAAUCGGAGUUAUGGAUCUCCGGGAAUAUAAGAAACGGUGGAAGGACAAAAUCUGGCAACGCAGAAAUAGAAAGAGACACACACACACACACACACACACACACNNNNNNNNNNNNNNNNNNNNNNNNNNNNNNNNNNNNNNNNNNNNNNNNNNNNNNNNNNNNNNNNNNNNNNNNNNNNNNNNNNNNNNNNNNNNNNNNNNNNUUAUUAUCCAUGCUAUAAUUGUAUUGAAUGAAGACUCAUUUACAUGUGUGGAUACAUAGACAAAACACCGUCCCUAGCAAGCCUCUAGUUGGCUAGCCAGUUGAUCAAAGAUAGUCAGUGUAUUCUGAUUAUGAACAAGGUGUUGUUGCUUGAUAACUGGAUCACGUCAUUAGGAGAAUCACGUGAUGGACUAGACCCAAACUAAUAGACGUAGCAUGUUGAUCGUGUCAUUUUGUUGCUACUGUUUUCUGCAUGUCAAGUAUUUAUUCCUAUGACCAUGAGAUCAUAUAACUCACUGACACCGGAGGAAUGCUUUGUGUGUAUCAAACGUCGCAACAUAACUGGGUGACUAUAAAGAUGCUCUACAGGUAUCUCCGAAGGUGUUAGUUGAGUUAGUAUGGAUCAAGACUGGGAUUUGUCACUCCGUGUGACGGAGAGGUAUCUCAGGGCCCACUCGGUAAUACAACAUCACACACAAGCCUUGCAAGCAAUGUGACUUAGUGUAAGUUGCGGGAUCUUGUAUUACGGAACGAGUAAAGAGACUUGCCGGUAAACGAGAUUGAAAUAGGUAUGCGGAUACUGACGAUCGAAUCUCGGGCAAGUAACAUACCGAAGGACAAAGGGAAUGACAUACGGGAUUAUAUGAAUCCUUGGCACUGAGGUUCAAACGAUAAGAUCUUCGUAGAAUAUGUAGGAUCCAAUAUGGGCAUCCAGGUCCCGCUAUUGGAUAUUGACCGAGGAGUCUCUCGGGUCAUGUCUACAUAGUUCUUGAACCCGCAGGGUCUGCACACUUAAGGUUCAACGUUGUUUUAUGCGUAUUUGAGUUAUAUGGUUGGUUACCGAAUGUUGUUCGGAGACCCGGAUGAGAUCACGGAUGUCACGAGGGUUUCCGGAAUGGUCCGGAAAUGAAGAUUGAUAUAUAGGAUGACCUCAUUUGAUUACCGGAAGGUUUUCGGAGUUACCGGGAAUGUACCGGGAAUGACGAAUGGGUUCCGGGAUUUCACCGGGGGGGCAACCCACCCCGGGGAAGCCCAUAGGCCUUGAGGGUGGCACACCAGCCCUCAAGGUUGAUGCAAUUGCCGUCGGCACAGUUUCACUUCAGUUACCAUCAGGAUUAGUGAUGAACUUAAAUCAUUGUUAUUUAGUGCCUGCGUUGAGCAUGAACAUUAUAUCUGGAUCUUAUUUAUUGCGAGACGGUUACUCUUUUAAGUCAGAGAAUAAUGGUUGUUCUAUUUCUAUGAGUAACAUCUUUUAUGGUCAUGCACCUAAUGUGAGAGGAUUUUUCAUAUUGAAUCUUGAUAGCGAUACACAUAUACAUAACAUUGAGACCAAAAGAGUUAGAGUUAACAAUGAUAGCGCCAUAUUUUUGUGGCACUGCCGCUUAUGUCAUAUUGGGGUAAAGCGCAUGAAGAAACUCCAUGCUGAUGGACUUUUGGAGUCACUUGACUUUGAUUCACUUGACACGUGCGAACCAUGCCUCAUGGGCAAGAUGACUAAGACUCCGUUCUCCGGAACAAUGGAGCGUGCAAGUGACUUGUUGGAAAUCAUACAUACCGAUGUGUGUGGUCCGAUGAGCGUGGAGGCACGCGGCGGAUAUCGUUAUUUUCUCACCUUCACUAACGAUUUGAGUAGAUAUGGUUAUGUCUACUUGAUGAAGCACAAGUCUGAAACAUUUGAAAAGUUCAAGCAAUUUCAGUGUGAAGUUGAAAAUCAUCGUAACAAGAAGAUCAAGUUCCUACAGUCUGAUCGUGGGGGUGAAUAUCUGAGUUUCGAGUUUGGUGCGUACUUAAGACAAUGUGGAAUUGUUUCACAGUUAACACCGCCUGGAACACCACAGCGUAAUGGUGUGUCCGAACGUCGUAAUCGUACUUUAUUAGAGAUGGUGCGAUCUAUGAUGUCUCUUACCGAUUUGCCGUUAUCGUUUUGGGGUUAUGCAUUAGAAACAGCUGCAUUCACUUUAAAUAGGGCACCAUCAAAAUCCAUUGAGACGACACCAUACGAACUGUGGUAUGGCAAAGGGCCAAAGUUGUCGUUUCUUAAAGUUUGGGGAUGUGACGCUUAUGUCAAAGAGCUUCAGCCUGAAAAGCUGGAACCCAAAGCGGAAAAGUGCGUCUUCAUAGGUUACCCAAAAGAGACAGUUGGGUACACCUUCUAUCUCAAAUCCGAGGGCAAAGUGUUUGUUGCUAAAAACAGAGCUUUUCUCGAGAAGGAGUUUCUCUCGAGAGAAUUGAGUGGGAGGAAGAUAGAACUUGACGAGGUUUUCGAACCUCUCAUCCCUCUGGAUGGUGGCGCGGGACAAGGGGAAACCUCUGUCGUUGCGACGCCGGUUGAGGAGGAAGUUAAUGAUGAUGAUCAUGAAACUCCGGUUCAAGUUUCUGUCGAACCACGCAGGUCGACGAGACCACGUGCUGCUCCAGAGUGGUACGGUAAUCCCGUCUUGUCGAUCAUGUUGUUGGACAACAAUGAACCUGCAAAUUAUGAAGAAGCAAUGGUGGGCCCGGAUUCCAACAAAUGGCUAGAAGCCAUGAAGUCCGAGAUAGGAUCCAUGUAUGAGAACAAAGUGUGGACUUUGGAGGUACUACCUGAGGGCCGCAAGGCUAUUCAGAACAAAUGGAUUUUUAAGAGGAAGACGGACGCUGACGACAAUGUGACCGUUUAUAAAGCUCGACUUGUGGCAAAGGGUUUUUCACAAGUUCAAGGAGUUGACUACGAUGAGACAUUCUCACCCGUAGCGAUGCUUAAGUCCGUCAGAAUCAUGUUAGCAAUAGCUGCAUUUUUUGAUUAUGAAAUCUGGCAGAUGGAUGUCAAAAUGGCGUUCCUUAACGGUUUCCUUAAGGAAGAGUUGUAUAUGAUACAACCCGAAGGUUUUGUCGAUCCUAAGAAUGCUAACAAGGUGUGCAAGCUCCAGCGAUCCAUUUAUGGACUGGUGCAAGCAUCUCGGAGUUGGAACAAACGUUUUGAUGAGGUGAUCAAAGCAUUUGGGUUUAUACAAGUGGUUGGAGAAUCUUGUAUUUACAAGAAAGUGAGUGGGAGCUCUGUGGCAUUUCUAAUAUUAUAUGUGGAUGACAUAUUGCUGAUUGGAAACAACGUGGAGUUUUUAGAGAGCAUAAAGGAUUACUUGAAUAAGAGUUUCUCUAUGAAGGACCUAGGAGAAGCUGCUUACAUUCUAGGCAUUAAGAUCUAUAGGGAUAGAUCAAAACGCCUGAUAGGACUUUCACAAAGCACAUACCUUGAUAAAGUUUUGAAGAGGUUCAAAAUGGAACAGUCCAAGAAAGGGUUCUUGCCAGUUUUACAAGGUACGAGAUUGAGUAAGACUCAGUGCCCAGCAACUGAUGAAGAUAGAGAGCAUAUGCGCUCCGUCCCCUAUGCUUCAGCCAUAGGUUCUAUCAUGUAUGCAAUGCUGUGCACUAGAUCGGAUGUUAGCCUGGCCAUAAGUAUGGCAGGUAGGUUCCAGAGUAAUCCAGGAGUGGAUCACUGGACAACGGUCAAGAAUAUCCUGAAGUACCUGAAAAGGACUAAGGAGAUGUUUCUCGUGUAUGGAGGUGACGAAGAGCUCGCCGUAAAAGGUUACGUCGAUGCAAGCUUUGACACAGAUCCGGACGACUCUAAGUCGCAAACCGGAUACGUAUUUAUUCUUAAUGGGGGUGCGGUAAGCUGGUGCAGUUCCAAGCAAAGCGUCGUAGCAAAUUCUACAUGUGAAGCGGAGUACAUGGCUGCCUCGGAGGCAGCUAAGGAGGGUGUCUGGAUGAAGCAGUUCAUGACGGAUCUUGGAGUGGUGCCAAGCGCACUGAAUCCAAUAACCUUGUUCUGUGACAACACGGGUGCCAUUGCCUUAGCAAAGGAACCACGGUUUCACAAGAAGACCAGACACAUCAAACGACGCUUCAACCUCAUCCGCGACUACGUCGAGGGAGAGGACGUAAAUAUAUGCAAAGUGCACACGGAUCUGAAUGUAGCAGACCCGCUGACUAAACCUCUUCCACGGCCAAAGUAUGAUCAACACCAGAACUGUAUGGGUGUUAGAUUUAUUACAAUGUAAUUCACAUGAUGAUGUGAGGGCUAGAUUAUUGACUCUAGUGAAAGUGGGAGACUGUUGGAAUUAUGCCCUAGAGGCAAUAAUAAAUAUAGUUAUUAUUAUAAUUCCUGUAUCAAGAUAAUCGUUUAUUAUCCAUGCUAUAAUUGUAUUGAAUGAAGACUCAUUUACAUGUGUGGAUACAUAGACAAAACACCGUCCCUAGCAAGCCUCUAGUUGGCUAGCCAGUUGAUCAAAGAUAGUCAGUGUUUUCUGAUUAUGAACAAGGUGUUGUUGCUUGAUAACUGGAUCACGUCAUUAGGAGAAUCACGUGAUGGACUAGACCCAAACUAAUAGACGUCGCAUGUUGAUCGUGUCAUUUUGUUGCUACUGUUUUCUGCAUGUCAAGUANNNNNNNNNNNNNNNNNNNNNNNNNNNNNNNNNNNNNNNNNNNNNNNNNNNNNNNNNNNNNNNNNNNNNNNNNNNNNNNNNNNNNNNNNNNNNNNNNNNNGUCGCUUGAUAAUGGGAUCACAUCAUUAGGAGAAUCAUGUGAUGGACUAGGCCCAAACUAUGAACGUAGCAUGUGAUCAUGUCAUUUUGUUGCUAUUGUUUUCUGCGUGUCAAGUAUUCAUUCCCCCCAUGAGAUCAUGUAACUCACUGUCACCGGAGGAAUACCUUGUGUGUAUCAAACGUCACAACAUUACUGGGUGACUAUAAAUGUGCUCUAUAGGUAUCUCCGAAGGUGUCCGUUGAGUUAGCAUGGAUCAAGACUGGGAUUUGUCACUCCGUGUGACAGAGAGGUAUCUUGGGGCCCACUCGGUAAUACAACAUCACAUACAAGCCUUGCAAGCAAUGUGACUCAAGUGUGAGUCACUAGAUCUUGUAUUACAGAAUGAGUAAAGAGAUUUCCCGGUAACGAGAUUGAAAUAGGUAUAGGGAUACCGACGACCAAAUCUCGGGCAAGUAACAUACCGAAGGAGAAAGGGAAUGUUAUACGGGAUUAUAUGAAUCCUUGGCACAGAGGUUCAACCAAUAAGAUCUUCAUAGAAUAUGUAGGAUCCAAUAUGGGCAUCUAGGUCCCCCUAUUGGAUACUGACUGAAGAGUGUCUUGAUUCAUGUCUACAUAGUUCUCGAACCCGCAGGUUGUGCACACUUAAGGUUCGAUGAUGUUUUAGUAUAGUUGAGUUAUAUGUGUUGGUGAUCGAAGGUUGUUCAGAGUCCCGGAUGAGAUCACAGACUUCACGAGGGUUUCCAUAAUGGUUCAAAAAACAAAGAUUGGUAUAUAGGAAGUUGGUUUUUGGAUUCCGGAAAGUUUUCGGGCAUUGCCGACAGUGUACCGGGAGUGACGAAUGGGUUCUGGGGGCCCACUGGGUGGGCCCACCACGUCCAAGGGGUCCACGUGGGUUUAUUGGAUGUACAAUAAGGUAUAAUGGGCUGACAAAGUCAUCCAAGGAAAGCCCAUGAAGAAAAAGUGGAAAAUCCAAAAGAGGUGGGAAAAUAAGGAAGGAGUCCUAAUCCAAGUGGGAUUGGAGAAGGACUCCUCCCUCCCACUUCGGCCGGCCCAAGGAGGGUUUCCUUGGUGCGCCAAGGCUUCCCAAGGCUGCCUCUCCCCUCCUCCUAUAUAUACUAGAGGUUUAGGGCUUUUGAGACAUAACUUUGCCAUGUGCAACUCAAACCUAUAUCUCGUAGUUCUUCCUCUAGAUUAGAUUUCUACGGAGCUCGGGCGGAGCCCUGCAGGAAUAGAGCAUCACCAACACCGGCGCACCGUCAUGCUCCCGGAGAAAUCAUCUACUUCUCUGUCUCUCUUGCUGGAUCAACAAGGCCAAGAUCGUCAUCGAGCUGUACGUGUGUUGAACACGGAGGUGUCGUCCGUUCUGCGCUAGGUCGGAACGGAUCAUGGGACGGAUCAUGGGACGAUGGUGAUUUGAAUCACGAAGUUGUACCACUAGAUCAACCGUGUUUCUUAAUGCUUCUCGCUUAGCGAUCUACAAGGGUAUGUGGAUCUAAUCUCCUCUCGUAGAUGAACAUCACCAUGAUAGGUCUUCGUGUGCGUAGGAAAAAAUUUGUUUGCCAUGCAAUGUUCCUCAACAGUGGCAUCAUGAGCUAGGUUCAUGCAUAGAUGUUAUCUCGAGUAGAACACAGAAGGAUUUGUGGAAGUUGAUGUUCGAUUUUCUUCCCUCCUUAGUAUUUUCUCGAUUCGGCGGUAUUGUUGGAUUGAAGAGGCCCAGACCGACAUUACUCGUACGCUUACGAGAGACUGGUUUCAUCAACUGACAUGCAACUCGGUGCAUAAAGAUGACUGGCGGGUGUCGGUUUCUUCAACUUUAUUUGAAUUGGUUUUGACCGAGGCGGUCCUUGGAGAGAGGUUAAAUAGCACUUUGCACAUCUCCGUUGUGGUUUUCCGUAAGUAAGAUGCGAUCAUACUAGAUACCCAUAGCAGCCACGUAAAACACGCAACAACAAAUUAGAGGACGUCUAACUUGUUUUUGCAGGGUAUGCUUGUGAUAUGAUAUGGCCAAUGACGUGAUGUGAUAUAUUGGAUGUAUGAGAUGAUCAUGUUCUAAUAGUUAAUAUCGACUUGCACAUCGAUGCUACGGCAACCGGCAGGAGCCAUAGGGUUGUCUUUAAACGAACGUUCGUGUUUGCACAUGCGUUUACUAUAUUUCUAGGUCGUAGCUUUAGUAGUAAUAACAUAGAUAGCACGACAAGCUCGAUGGCGGCACGAUGAUGGAGACUUGAUGAUGGAGAUCAUGGUGUGGUGCAGGUGACAAGAAGAUCAUGCCGGUGCUUUGGUGAUGGAGUUCAAGAAGCACAAGAUGAUGGCCAUAUCAUGUCACUUAUGAAUUGCAUGUGAUGUUAAUCCUUUUAUGCACCUUAUUUUGCUUAGAACGACGGUAACAUUAUAAGGUGAUCUCUCACUAAAAUUUCAAGAUGAAAUUGUGUUCUUCCCAACUAUGCACCAUUGCGACAGUUCGUCGUUUCGAGACACCACAUGAUGAUCGGGUGUGAUAGACUCAACGUUCACAUACAACGGGUGCAAAACAGUUGCACACGUAGAACACUCGGGUUAAACUUGACGAGCCUAGCAUGUGCAGACAUGGCCUUGGAACACAAGAGACCGAAAGGUCGAGCAUGAAUCGUAUAGUUGAUAUGAUUAGCAUAGAGAUGCUUACCACUGAAACUAUUCUCAACUCACGUGAUGAUCGGACUUGAGUUAGUGGAUUUGGAUCAUGUACCACUCAAAUGACUAGAGAGAUGUACUUUUUCAGUGGGAGUUCUUAUGUAAUAUGAUUAAUUGAACUAAUUAUCAUGAACAUAGUCAAAAGGUCUUUGUGAAUUAUGAUAUAGCUUGCGCUAUAGCUCUACUGUUUUUUAUAUGUUCCAAGAGGAAAUUUAGUUGAAAGAUGAUAGUAGCAACUUUGUGGACUGAGUCCGUAAAACUAAGGAUUGUCCUCAUUGCUGCGUGGAAGGCUUAUGUCCUUAAUGCACCACUCGGUGUGCUGCACCUCGAGCGUCGUCUGUGGAUGUUGCAAACAUCUGACAUACGUGUUUUUGAUGACUACAUGAUAGUUCAGUGCGUAAUACGUAAUGGCUUAGAAGCAAGGCGUCGAAGACGUUUUGAAACGUCACGGAACAUAAGAGAUGUUCUAAGAGAUGAAAUUUUGAGUUCAUGCUCAUUCCCUUGUUGAGAGGUAUGGGACCUCCGACAAGAUUCUUUAUCUACAAACUAAAGGAGAAAAGCUCAAUCGUUGGGCAUGUGCUCAGAUUGUGUGAGUACAACAAUCACUUGAAUCAAGUGGGAGUUAAUCUUCGAGAUGAGAUAGUGAUGGUUCUCCAAAGUCACUACCACCAAGCUGCUAGAGCUUCAUGAUGAACUAUAAGAUAUCAAGGACAGAUAUGAUGAUCCUUGAGCGAUUCGGAAUGUUUGACACUGUGAAAGUAGAAAUCAAGAAGGAGCAUCAAUUGUUCGUGGUUAGUAAAACCACUAGUUUCGAGAAGGGCAAGGGCUAACAUGGAUACUUCAUGAAACGGCAAACUAGUUGAUGCUCUAGAAACCCAAGACUGAACCGAAACCCAAGACCAAGUGCUUCUAUUAUGAGGGGAACAGUCACUGAGGCGGAGCUACCCUAGAUACUGGGUAGAUAAGAAGGUUGGCAAAGUCGAGAGAAGUAUAUUUGAUAUACAUGAUAUUGAUGUGUACUUUACUAGUACUCAUAUUAGCACGAGGGUAUUAGAUACCGAUUUAAUUGCUAAGUGAUUAGUAAAUCGAAAUGAAAGAUAUGGAAUAAACGAAGACUAGCUAAAGGCGAGGUGAUGAUACGUGUUGGAAGUGUUUCCAAGGUUGAUGUGAUCAGAACAUCGCACGCUCCCUCUAUCAUNNNNNNNNNNNNNNNNNNNNNNNNNNNNNNNNNNNNNNNNNNNNNNNNNNNNNNNNNNNNNNNNNNNNNNNNNNNNNNNNNNNNNNNNNNNNNNNNNNNNAAACUUUUCACUGCCGUCCGAUUCCACGUGGUUAUGCUCUUGUGAUGGUGGAUGAAGUAAAUAAGGAUUUUGAGCAGCUCGAGCUUGACCACCCUACAUGUGAAGCUGAGAAUAAUAAGUUGGUUCAUGCAUUGAGGAGUACAUGUCUAUGGCCGAAGGAGUACAUCAAUCUUNNNNNNNNNNUCCUCCUCCUCCUCUGGUGAGUGAUCAGGGCACUCCUCAUCCUCCUCCGGCAACUGAUCAGGGAACUCCUCAUCCUCCUCCGGCGAAUGAUCAGGGCACUCCGGCUCCUCCGACGCGUGAGGGCACUCUGCCUUCUUCUUCGGCUCCUCCUCCGGCGCGUGAGGACACUCCGCCUCCUUCUUCGACUCCUCCUCCGACCCAUCGGAGCAGUCCGCCUCCUUCUUCGGCUCCCCCUCCGACGCGUUGGAGCACUCCUCCUCCUUCUUCGGCUCCUCCUCCAGCACGUCGGAGCAGUCCUCCUCCUUCGGCUCCUAAUCCUCCGGCGCGUCGGAGCACUCCGCCUCCUUCUUCGGCUCCUCCUCCGGUGCGUGGGAGCACUCCGCCUCCUUCUUCGGCUCCUCCUCCAGCNNNNNNNNNNNNNNNNNNNNNNNNNNNNNNNNNNNNNNNNNNNNNNNNNNNNNNNNNNNNNNNNNNNNNNNNNNNNNNNNNNNNNNNNNNNNNNNNNNNNAGCGCACAAGCGCAAGCUGGACCACGGGCUGGCUAUUUAAAGCCACACUUGGCUCACUCCUCCCCUGGACUCUCUCUCUUUCCCUCCCCAAAUAUGUCGUCUGGACCACGAGAGCCACCCGAGCUCGAGAUCAAGCUUGAGCUCCACCAUGAGGAAUCGUCGUUGAUUCACUCGGUAGGGCCCUUCCUCGUUGUCAUUUUCCCAAGAUUUGGAGCCACCUCAACCCUGAUCCUUUCCCCCCUCUUCCCCAUGCAUUUUGCAGUCGGAGACAAUGUCGAUGACCUCCUCCUGAAGCAUCUCUACCGUGCUUCCUCCGCCGGCGACCCAGGCCUCCUCGAUGACUUCCUCCACCUCCACAAAGACGACGGAUCUCCCCUGGUUCCAUUUCCUUCAUCGGCCCACUCCGUCGUGCCCUCCCUUGCCGUCGGUGAGUUGUGCCCCCCUGUUCGCAGGGUUAAAGAUGACAGGCAGGGCCCAUGUGUCAUCCUCCCCUCUCGCCCGCUCCCUCUCUCUCUCACUCGCACCGGGGGGAACUUGUUGGGUUUGAACCCAGGCAGGCACGUGCCUGGCUCGGCCUGGCCGGCUUAGCUAGCUGGGCCUGGCUCGGCUAGCUAAUUAGGCUUGAGGGGCACAGUGUUGUUUCCUUUUUAUUUUUCUGGCAUUAUUUCCAAAAAUUCCCGUGGUUCAAAUAAUUGUCCAAAUUCAAAAAUUCCACCUCCUAAAUUCCUGUAAAAUCCUAAGAUAUUUAAUGAUGCCACUUGUGCAAUUUUUGCAAAAAGUUCUAUACACUGUAUUUAUUUAAAACACUAUUUUAAGCAUUUGUAACCUUUGUUAAAAUAAUUUUUAUUACUUUUUACACCCCAAACCAGAAACUAAUAACUUUUUUACAAAACUAAUAUCCAGCCUAAUAUUUUACAAAAAUGGCUUGGUCUUAUUUUUUCCUGUUAUUAUCAUGAUGAUAGAUUGUCUUGUUGAUGAAGGAGUUGGACAAUAAGACUUUGAAGACCCUAGAGACUAUGUUGAGCCAGGCAAGAAGCGUUAUGACCAUGGCUAUGUAACCCUUUUAUGCAUCUCAUAUGUAACUUUAUUUUGUUGCAUCUGAAUCAUGUUCAAUCAGUGACCUCCUUGGUGGGUUGUCUCCGAUAUUUCCUCGUUGAUACUUGUACUAAGCAUGACCCUACCAUCCUAUGAGGAUUGUCCGGAUGUGAAGUAGUUAUGUUGCUAUGUAGUUGCUACACAAAUAGGAUGGGAUUAUGCAUGGUGUUGGAAACAACGGUGUUUUCAAAGACUUUUUGAAAACCCCGUCGGGUGCCACUAAUUGUGGGUUAUAUGUAUUGUGAAUAGAGCCGUGGGCCAUAGUUUUCGCUAAUGUCAUCUGUCGGAUAUCGGGCUCCGAAGAACCCUAAAGAUUCGAACUCAGGUGCGUGUACGAAGAUCUCUCAUAGGCUCGCAUCACCUAACUCGCUACUCGCUGGGGAUGGCAGAGAACUCACUCGAUGGUGAGGAAACACAAAACACGACAAUUUACCCAGGUUCGGGCCGCUGAGAAGCGUAAUACCCUACUCCUGCUUUGGUGGAUUGCCUAUAAUGGAGGUUGGUGGAUGAACUGGUACAGUGUUCGAGGGCCUCCGGAGGCUGGGUGGCCUUUUUGUGGUGCAGGUGGGCGAAAUGAAUGGAUCCCCCCUCUCUAUGAAGUAACCUACUCUCUCUAUAUAUAGUGGCGGCCCGGUCAUCUUCCCUUAUCGUUUCGGCGGGAAGGGAUCCCAUAAUGGCCAAUUUUCAAGGGGCACAAGGGAACAUGCUUCCCCUGUCCAAAAGUAGUCUUCUCCUGUAAAGUGGCUACCAGCACUGUAGGGACGGGUCCAGGGAUAACGUUUGUCCUGCUGGCGGGCGGCGAUGGCCUUGUUGCAUCGGAAAGGAAACCUUUGGAAGAUGCCUUGGGAACCCCGGUUCGUCCUUGCCCCCUUUGCACGAAAGGGAAACUGCUCCGUCCUACUGUCUACUGCUCUCCUGUCCUUCCUCCGCGUCAUCCUUGACUCCUCAGGGUAUCGCCUUAGAGUAUCUGUCGCUCCGGAGGGAUCCUGAUGAGGCCCCUGUGGGUCUUGAUGAUGUUCCUCCUCGCGAGGCUUGGCCCCUCACGGGGACCUUGCCUUGAGUGGUGUCGCGCCCGAUUAUGGGCCAGCCCUGGGCUGCAGGCAGGCAGGUCUAGGUACCCCCAUUCCUAGGACGCCGACAGUAUCCCCCGGGACCAAGGUGCGCCUGGGAUGGUUUCUCCGCGAACCCUUGAGGGCAGCCUGAACCGUCGCGGGUCCCAAAUUCCUUCGGGACAGGCGGCACACGUGUCCAGCUACCAUGCGGCGACGCUCUCACUCCCCAAGGGGUCUAGGGCGCAACAGACCACGAUGGCACGAUCUCCAAGAACCGCACCAACCAUCAUUGUUACUCAUUGAAUGGCAUUGACGCGGCCGGCCCUCGCCCAAUGGCCCUCUCGGACGUGACUGCUCGGUUGUCAGGUGAGGCGGCGUGGGCAGCAAUGUGCCUGUCGGCCCACCUCGCGGCACCUGACUUCGUAACAGCAGGCCUUCCCUUGCAACGGCACCAGAAGAAUGCUGCUAGCACUCUCCGGCAAUCGAAACUAGAAGAAUGUUAUUGACGGCCCACCAGCGCAUGGGAUCGUAGCAGUUUUCGAGGGUAGAGUAUACGACCCAAAUUUGUUGAUCGCCUAUAGGAGGUGAGAGGAUACUCUCAAGUAUUAGCAGCUGAAUAUGUCAGAUUCAACCACACCUGAAAGAUUAGUAUCUGCAAGCAAAGUAUCAGUAGCAAAGUAGUAUGAUAGCAACGGUGUCAGAAACGAUCUGUUGACACGGCAGACUAUUUCUAACGAUUGUAUCAAUGGUGCCAAGUUGUCGCGUUGACGGAAAUUGUCAGUUCCCGUCAACGACAAGUGAACCAAAAUUGUAGCAGGUAGCAUCAGUGUAACGAGUAAUAGCAGUGGCAAGGAACAGUAGUAGUGAUAGCAGUAGCAAGUAGCAACAGUAGCAAGCGACAGUAGUAGUGACAGUAGCCACAAAGCAAGACAAGUAACAGUAGUAGAGCAAGACAAGUAACAACAUCAGUAGGACAAACUCGUAGGCAAUGGGUCGGUGAUUUGUUUGGAUGAUAUUCAUCAUGCAACAAUUAUAACACGGAGAGAUAUGUGGAUAGCUCCCGAUCGUCAAUGUGAUGUAGGCAUGCAUUCCGUGUGUCGUCAUAUGUGCUUAGGGAAAAGAACUUGCAUGACAUCUAUUGUCCAUCCCUCCCGUGGCAGCGGGGUCCAAAAGGAAACUACGGGAUAUUAAGGUUCUCCUUUUAAUAAAGAACCGGACCAACGCAUUAGCACUUGGUGAACACAUGAACUCCUCAAACUAUGGUCAUCACCGGGAGUGGUUCCGGUUAUUGUCACUCCUNNNNNNNNNNNNNNNNNNNNNNNNNNNNNNNNNNNNNNNNNNNNNNNNNNNNNNNNNNNNNNNNNNNNNNNNNNNNNNNNNNNNNNNNNNNNNNNNNNNNACCGUCGUUAGGUUUGACGCACUUCACGAGAUGCGGCCCCGCCUCCCCCUACAACGAACGGAGCUCCAGGACGGCACCAGGGGUAGCAAGUGGCCUUAUGACAGGUAAGGCUCCUGAAUCGGUGCCGAGGAGCCCCCUUUGGUGCUCGAGCGAUUCCCCAUUUUGUCCUUUUGGUCAUCACCCCACGGCGCCCUGAGGCCUCCCGAGACUCUUUGUGGUGGUAUCGUGCUUCGAUCUGGGCCCCCGAGCGGGGGUCAAUCACUGAAAGUGUUUGCCCCUGGGACGGCAAGUCCUUGCUUCCACGCUCCUUGGCGCCUAGAGGUGGUGCAGAGCGUUCAGCUCCUCAGAAAAUUUCAUCUAGAAAAGGAGGCUUGAAAACCAGCGAAACGAGAAAGCGCAAGAGAAAAUUCUCCCCUUUUUGUUUUUCAAACAUCAACUUUUGAAAUCGACAAAUUUAAGUCCAGCACAGGAUUAUUCAAGCUCCAGGAAGAAGCAAGGAAACGCCGCANGGGGGGGGGGGGGGGGGCGUAUACAGCCGCAGCUCGUUAUUACGUGAGAAUGUCACGGGGGUGUAUCUGGGAGGUUGCGAGGACGCUUUGGCCUCGCUAGUGUCCCUACCCCCUAGGAAUAAGCANNNNNNNNNNNNNNNNNNNNNNNNNNNNNNNNNNNNNNNNNNNNNNNNNNNNNNNNNNNNNNNNNNNNNNNNNNNNNNNNNNNNNNNNNNNNNNNNNNNNACGAUUAUCUUGAUACAGGAAUUAUAAUAAUAACUAUAUUUAUUAUUGCCUCUAGGGCAUAAUUCCAACAACAACAUCCAAUGAUGGGCAAAAAUGAGAGUGAUCACAAGGUUUGAGCCUAUUUCAAGAAAGUUGGUAAUGUAAACAUAGAAAACUCUAAAAAUCAACAUAAUGAGGUUACUGUAGAUCUAUUUAAGCAAAUAUAUACCCCAAAUUGAAAACUUGGUGUAGCAUCAUUAUUUGGGGACAACAUAAGUCCUGCAAAGUUUGAGAGCAAUCGAAGAAACUUGACAAUGUAAAGUUGCCCAAAUUUGGUUCUGGACAGAGAGAGUUUUGAAAUAUUCUGGUGGACCAAACCAACUUGGAUUGAGGUGAAACUUGCCAAGAUCAUCACAUAUAUUAUGUGUGAUUUGACACAAUUUUCUGGAAUUAUUUGAGAAUAUCUCCUAUGAAAAUAUUCCAAAAGCUUAAAGUAGGAAGCAAGGGUUUUGAGGGGUUUUGUCCAAUAUUUUAAACAUGACCAUGGGUUGAAACUCUUAUAUAUGGAAACUAUAUUUCCACUGGGUUUUCCUAAAUUUUCUUAAAUAUUUUAAAAGCAUUAAAAUAAAUUUUCCCUAUAAAAGACCAUUUCUGGCCUCAGAUAAAGGUAUUUAAUUAAAAUAGGGAGAUAACUUUGAAAAUGAUAAUUUCGUUGUUUUGGGACGUCUUUCUGAUAAUAGGGUCCAAAUAAAUUAUUUAGGGCAAACCAUCUACCCUAAUUUGAGGACUUGUAGUACAAACCUGAAUUUAAGGGUUUUUGGAAACUUAAUUUAAAGAAAAGCUUUUGACCAAAAUAAUAGUUAAUAAAAAUAGUUCUUGGUCCCGUACACAUGAUAUGGCCAUUGGGCACGUAUUUGCAGCAAGAAGAUGAGUUUUCGUGGAGGGGAUUUUUUGUGAAUAAAACCCAAAUAGGCAAACAAGCAUAUAGCAACCAAUUCAAGCAUCACAUGUACAUAAAAGUUUUAAAUAGUUUCAAAUUUUAUGAAAUCAUCAUGUGACAAAGUGGUACAAACAUAGGAUGGGACAGCAACCUUCGAAGAGCAUCAUCUGCACGAACCCCACUCAUGGAGUCAUCGUUGCCCCCGGGUCCCACCACACGCGUCUUCGACUUCUCUCUCACUGUGAGAAACAAAUAUAGACACACUCCUUCGCAAACCGGACCGUCAAUAUUAGAAGGACAAGCUGCAACCCAGCUCCGCACACCAUCAUCAUCGUCGCCACAGAAGUCACAACGCCAACCGCCCACACUGCCGGUUGAGCAUCUACCGACCAUGAUGCCGUGCACAUCCAGCCUGCCGAAAAUGCAAAAGGGAGCAAGAUCUCGAAGACAGCGCUACGCAGAGACGCCGCCGCCGUCAGAUCCAACUGAAGGAUCUUGACUUUCACCUGAAGAUCUUGAUCCGAAAGGAGAGCUUGCAAAUAAGCUCCUUGAUGGCGUUUCCAAAAAAGAUUGUGACCGCCACGGACGGCGUCGCAGCCGGCCGGCGAAAAAACCAGCCAAGCUUUCGUUCGGAGCAGCAGGACCUUCACUCCCAUGCAGUUGACCAGCACCUCCGCUGACCCUUGCACUCCGGCACAGCAAUCACGCCAUUGCCACAGAGGAUCCACUUGAUAGAUCGAUGAGAAAGAAGAUUCUUUUACCUCUUUCCAGGAAACAGAUUAGCACUACGGUGACUAGAUGUAGCAAAAGGAGAUCCUUUCACACCAUGACUUCCGCGAAAUUUCUGCGUCGAUCCCUGUGCAUCUCCUCAAGGUUUUCUGAAACUAUGUAGAAGGCUCACUGAUCCAUCGAAUAUUCAGAUGGACUAGUAAGAGACAACAGAAUCGUAAGUUCAUAAACACAUAUAACAAUAUAGAAACAAUACAGACAUAUGAACUGAGAAUACAGCAGGAAGGAGCAGCUAACAGUUGCUUCAAAACACCAUAUAUAAUAUCGCAAACAGAACACAAUGACUAGAACAUUGGAAAAUAGGAGUAGGAGGCAGCGCUUAUUAUCACCCCAUCUUCUCUCGCUCCCACGGCGAGGAGUAUACGGUACUAGAUGGAAUGAAUCACCAUAGAUAGUCGAACCACACUUAAUUUAACACAGUACACGAAACAAAGCAAACGGGACGGGUCGAAGGGGCGCGCUUGCUUGCUUGCUUCCCUACACGAAUGCGGCGGCGGCCGCCGCGGCCCCAGCGGUGCGGAGGAUCUGGUAGUAGACCUGCGGGUUGGCCACAAACGCCGUGCGGGAAAUCAGGAAGCCGGCGGCACCAGGCGCCUUCAUCAUGGCGCCGGCGGCGGCUGGGGCGGCUGCAGCAGGCCAGAGAAAGUAGGCGCCCACGGCGCCCCCGAUGACCAUCGCCGCGGUCCCCACGGCACCGUCGCGCGUGGAGAGCUUUGCAGGCAGGUACGGUUUGGCCAACGAGAUGGUGGAGGCCAUGGCCGCUCCUGUAUGGUUCUUGACGUAGCCGAGACCGGUGACGAUGUCGCCUGUGCUCAUCUCGGUUAGCUUUGCGGGAAGGUACGGCUUGGCCAACGAGACUGUGGAGGCCAUGGCCGCUCCUGUAUGGUUCUUGACGUAGCCGAGACCCGCGACGAUGCCACCCGUGUUCAUCUCGGUUAGCUUUGAGGGGAGGUACGGCUUGGCCAGCGAGACGGUGGAGGCCACGGCGCUCGCCUGUUGCUUGACGAGGUCGAGACCGGAGAAGAGGAGGUCGCGGGUGCUCAUCUCGCCUGGUUUUCCUUUCCGAUUUGUGGUCGUUUGUGUGGACUUAUACCUCACUAAAUGGAUGAGACGACGCAAAGCGUGGAUUUAUAGCGACGAAGGUGAUCUAUACCUAGACAACGACGCGCGACGACCUUGACUACCAACAGUACUAUCGACAGCACUAACAUGUCACCAUAUGAAGAAGAAUCAAAAGAUUACAAAAGAGGCUAUAUAAAAAUCAUUCACCGCUGGUCCCUUUGUACCUACUCGGCUAAAGCACAGGAUGCCCAGGCGUGGUGCGGAAGGCAGUCACCUCGACCAACUCUACUUUCCAUGCCAUGAUAGACUGAUACACCCAUCUAAACAACCAAGUGUACGGAUUAUCUAUAAUUUAUUAAACCAACUCUACCGCACGACCCCAUUUCGUUCGUUCUUAGUUCGUUUAGAUUAAACGGACGAAUAGCUGAACCCGACGUGCAGUCCCAAAUGAACAAAUAUCUGAUUUUCGUCCAUUUUCAUUCUAUUCCGGGCCCAAACAUGCGUCGCGUUUGGAGUAAAACGGACAACGUGCGGACGGGCGGGACACGCGUCCUUGUCCUCCCCAUGGCCCGCCUGUCGGGACACUGGCACUUCAUUCAUUUCCAACGCCUCCAUCCGCCCUCCCCGCCCCACCUCGCCGUCGGAGCCGCCACUAUUUUUUCAGCCGCCUCCUCACUGCUCACCCCCCGGCCGUCCAUACCAAACCAAGUCUCGCCAUGGCCGCCACCACGCCCACGCUUUCGUAGGAAUUUUGGUCGUCUUUUGGAGAAGUUUUGGCCGUCGCCUUCGUAUCUGGUGCCAGAGGGGAUACGACCGCCGGGUGCUCUAUAGCGACCUGUAGCCGGCCGCCAAACGACCCUCCUGCAUCGAGGUGAUUUCCGCAGCCUAUUUGUCACCACGACCGCAAGGUUUCUAACACUUUGCCAACAAAGGUAUGGACAAUGGAGAUGAAUUUUUCUUCAACCACUUCUUUUGUUCAUCGGAUGAUGCGUCCUCGGAUGACGAAGAUCUUGUGGUGGUUGCACCGGUCGUUCACGACCACAUUGAAAGACAGCGGCCUCGCUACAGGCGGUCAGUCCUGGGCCGUGCUCCCAACCUGAACCACAUCAGAGAGAGAGAGGCGACGCCAUGCUCUAUGUCGAUUACUUUGAGAAUACCACACUCUUUGAACCGAAGAAAUUCCAUCGUUGUUUUCGUAUGGCAAGACAUAUGUACAGUCGUAUCCGAGAGAGAGUGAUUCGUCAUGACCCAUUCUUCGAGUGCAAAACGGAUGCCCUUGGCAAGCUUGGAUUCUUCUCUUAUUAGAAAUGCACCGCGGCCAUCCGCAUGCUUGCAUAAGGUAUUCCACGCGAUUUUGUGGAUGAGUACGUGCGCAUGAGUGAGUUCACAUGUCUGAUGUCAAUGUACAACUUCUGCAAUGCCGUGGUGGCAGUGUUUGGCCCUCAAUACUUGAGGCAGCCAAAUGCUGCUGAUACAAAAAGGCUGUUGGUAAUCAACGCCGAUAGAAGCUUUCCAGGCAUGCAUGGCAGCAAAGAUUGUAUGCACUAGGAGUGGAAGAACAGUCUAUUUGCUUGACAGGGCCAGUACAAGGGGCAUGUGAAAGCGUGCACUCUCAUAUUAGAAGUUGUGGCUUGACAAGAUCUUUGGAUAUGACAUUCUUUCUUCAGCAUGGCAGGUUCUCACAAUGAUAUCAACGUGCUGCAGCGUUCUCCAGUCUUCGCAAGGUUUGCACAAGGCCAUUCUCUACCUAGCAACUUUGAGGUCAAUAGCCACCACUACAACAAGGGAUACUACCUAGAUGCUGGUAUAUAUCCUAAGUGGUCAACUUUUGUGGAGACAAUCUCGAAACCCCAAUGUGAUAAGAGACAGAGAUUUUCCCAAAUGCAAGAGAGUGCUAGAAAGGAUGUGGAGCGUGCUUUUGGUGUGCUUCAAUCCCGAUGGGGUAUCGUUCGAAACCCUUCACUGAACAUGGAUGAAGGGAAGCAUUGGAGGUGAUGACUACUUGUGUGAUCAUGCACAACAUGAUCAUCAAGGACGAGCGUGAUAACAACAUCUUCGACCAAGGAUUUGAUUUUUGAGGUGAAAAUGUUGAGCCCCUGCAGCAAGAACCGGCCACAUUUGAACAGUUUACCCAAUUCCAUCGUGAAAUGCGUGAUUGCACACUCAUUUGGAGCUUUAAAAUGACUUCGUUCAGCACAUGUGGAAUCACAUUGGCAACCAAUAGAUGUAUUGGUUUAUUAUGUUUAUUCAAGACAAUUUCAAUUUGGUUGUAAAACCAUUUUAUUCGAGACAAUUUUGAUUGGGUUGUAAAACUAUUUUUAUUUGAAACAAUUAAAAUUUGGACGUGCAAACAUUGAUGAAUAUGAAUAUAUGGGCAUAUUGGUCGUGGCGGACAGGAUGCGACCAAAGGAUGCGUCCGCAUGUUGGGUGCACGGCCACCGCAUCCGAGGAAAGGCUGAGAGACGACCCCAUUGCCCUACCCAAAUGUCCGGGAAAAACGGAUGUCCGUUUGGGGUCGUGCGCUGAAGUUGGCCUUAGGAACAAGAGGUAGGCAGGAAUGAUCAAGCGUACAACACACAUAAGGGCAUCUCCAGCCGCGCCCCAAGAGGCCACUCAUGCCCCUUUUUAGACGCCGUCGUUACAAAAUCCCCCCCAGUCGGGCCCCCAGGACGUCGUUUUCCGCCAGAUGGUCCAUUUUUCGGGCCGGUGAACCCAGGCCGAACCCAGCACGCUGGGGGCACCUAGGUGCUUUGACAGAAGGAAAAGUUGUGUGUAGGACACUACUGUGAGGCGAGAAAUGCCUUUUCGCCGCUAGAUUCGCCCUCGUGCGCCACGGAACACCUCACCGCCAUGUCGAUCCCGACGCCGCCAACGUGCCCUCAGGUGCUGCCGCGCCGAUUGAAAAUGCCAUUUCCCUGCCAUUUUCGCGGUAGCCUCCAUCCUGCUCUCCCUGGGCGAGCUUUUCAAACCGCUCAGGCAGGGAUACCGGCGACUGCCCACCAACUACGCCAUUCAGGUGUUUGGUGAUUAGCCUGCUCGGUAAUGGACUCAAACGACGAUGACACGUUCAUGGCUCUGAUGGAGGAGAAAGCCGAGGACGACACCACCGACGAAGAGCACAUCAUGAUCCUCGCCGCGCUGGCCGGCCUAUUGCGAAUAAUGCCAAGCCGUGGAGUGGUGUCUCGGUGCCGGGGCGCCGCAAGAGCAAACAAAGACAUCACAUGGAGGUCUAUUACAUGCUCUACAUCGACUACUUCGCCGACAGUCCUAUGCAUGGCGAGAAAUUAUUUCCGCGCCAUUAUCGGAUGGACCCGAAGCUCUUCCUCAGGAUUGUGAAUGUCAUCUAUGAGUUCGACAUCUAUUUCAUUUGCAAGAAGGAUUGCACCAGUACGGUUGGAUUAUCCUCGUUCUUGAAGUACACCACGACUAUGAGGAUCCUUGUGUAUGGAUCUCCCGAUGAUAUACAGUAAUACUAAGGAGCAUGGUCGAGUCGACCACCUUUGAGUGUUUGUAGAAGUUUUGUAGGAUAGUGGUGGCAGUGUUUGGACCAUAAAAUUUGCAAUCACCCAAUGCUGAAGACACUGCUCGGAUCCUAGCGUAGAAUGCAGUAAGAGGAUUUCAUGGGAUGCUUGGAAGCAUCGACUGCAUGCAUUGGGCAUGAAAAAACUAUCCAUUAGCUUGGCAGGGGAUGUACGAAGGCACCAAAAGAGGUUGCAGAGUGGUACUUGAGGUAGUGGCCACAUAGGACCUAUGGAUUUGGCACUCCUUUGGUAUGCUAGGAACUCACAAUGACAUCAACAUACUUCAGUCCUCGAAUGUCUUUGCAAAUCUUGUUGAAGGUCAUGCUCGUUCGGUGAACUUCGAGGUCAAUGGGUGCCACUACAACAAGGGAUACUAUCUAGCAGAUGGUAUCUCCGGGAUUGUCCACAUUUGUGAAGAGUAUCUCAAACCUUGUGCGAGGAGGCAAGAAGUCACACUUUGUUAAGUGUCAGGAGGCUUGCAGGAAGGAUGUCCAGCGAGCAUUUGGUGUGCUCCAAUCUCGAUUUACUAUUGUCCAGUACCCCACUCUUACCUGUGAUACGUCUCCGUCGUAUAUAUAUUUUUUGAUUGUUCCAUGCCAAUAUUAUACAACUUUCACAUAUUUUUUGCAACAUUUUAUAUGAUGUAUUGGACUAACAUAUUGAUCCAGUGCCAAGUGUCAGUUCUUGUUUGUUGCAUAUUUUUUGUUUCGGAGAAUAUCCAUAUCAAACAAAGUGCAACGCGAUAAAAUUUUAAAGAGAAUUAUUUUGAACAUGGAAUCAACGUAAAUGGCGGCCCACGACCUCCACUAGACACCAGGGCGUGCUUGGUCCACCUGGCACAGGGUGGUGUCUACUGGGCACCCCUUAAGUUGGUUGGGGCUCUUCUUAGGGUACAAGAAAUAUAAUUUAUUGAUAAAAGUCCCUCCAAAAUUUCGGCACAACCGGAGUUACGGAUCUUCGAGAAUUUAUGAAACGGUGAAGGACCAUAAAACAGGAACAUGCAACAGAAGAGAACAUAGAGGGAGAUGCAAUCUCGGAGGGGCUCCUUCGCCUCCGCCGCCAUGGAGGCCGUGGACCAGAGGGGGAACUCUCCUCCCAUCUAAGUGGAGGCCAAGGAAGAAGAACAAGGAGGGAGGCUGUCCCCCCUCUCUCCCGGUGGCACCGGAGUGCCGUCGGGGCAAGGAGCGUGACGGAGAUUGACACGUCUCAAACGUACAGACUUUUACAAACACUUUUGCUAUUGUUUUGGCCUCAUUCAUGCAUGAUUUUAAUGAAACUAACCUGAACUGACGCUGUUUUCAGUAGAGCUGCCUAUAUGGUUUUCUUGUGUGCAGGAAAAUGGAUGUUUAGGCGCCCCGGAAAAUUCCAAUAAAAAAUAGAUAAAUCCACGAACCGGGAGGAACCCUGGGUCAGAAGAUGGGCGAGAGGGGGGCCACCAUGCCUCCAGGCGACCUUUGGGCGCGGCCUGCCCCCUGGCCGCGUUGGGAGGCCGCCUGGUGGGGUCCACCUCCUCUGAUGCCCUACUUUGUCUUCUAUUUUUUUCCUGAUGGAGAAAUCCCAGAAGAGAAGUCGUUUUGCAAGUUCUCGACGCGGAGCCGCCGCCACCCUCAGUUCUUUUUCGGGAGAGCUAAUCUAGAGGCUGCCUUGGCCUCCGGAGAGGGGAAAUCGUCGCCAUCAUCAUCACCAUCUUCACUCCAUCACCCUUCCAUGGAUUCCCCCAUCAUGUAUGAGUAAUUCCAUGUUGUAGGUGAAGUGGACGGCAGGAAUUGGAUGAGUUAGAUCAUGUAAUAGUUCGUCGGAUUGUUGGGGGCAUGUUGCCAAUCAUCUACCAUGGUGUUUAUCAUCUUUUCUACUACUUGUUACUCUUAAUGCUUGUCACUUCGGGACCGAGUGCCAUGAUUUCAGAUCUGAAUAUCUUAUGUUUUCAUGAAUAUAUUUGUGUUCUCGAUCCUAUCUAUGAGUAGUAUGCACCUAUUAUAGUCCGGAACAGGCAAUCCCAACGGUGACAUCUUGGGACAAAAAAAGGGAUAGACUAUGAUUUGAGGAUUCCAUGUAUCCAUUGAUUGUUAAUGCUUUGUUCCGGUGCUCUUUGACAGGAGCACCUUAAUCUCCAUAAGUUCCUUUUGGCCCCAUUGGUAGCGGGAUGAUAGGAAAAAACAUGUUGUGCAAGUUCUUAUUGCAAGCACGCACGACUACCUUGGGAUACAUGCCUAAUGAUUGAUAUUUUCCUAGAUGAUCAUUCCUUCUCUAUGUGCCUUGCCCCAUGUUAAAUACAUGAUAUCUCUCAUCCAUGACCAACCAACCAUCUCCGUAGCCUACAUGGUUUUAAUCCCGCUAGUCACUAGUUGCUCUACUUUAGCUGUUUUACUUUUGUUGCUUUGCCACCAUUAUCUCCGUUGCCACAAUCACUUUCAUAUCACCGUUACUACUAAUAUUUCGUUGCCAAGCAAGUAUCUUUCAGGUGCGGUUGAACUGACAACUCAACUAUUAAAGCUUAUAAAUAUUCUUUGGCUCCCCUUGUGUCGAAUCAAUAAAUUGGGUUAACUUACCCGCGAAGACUGUUGCGAUCCACUACACUUGUGGGUUAUUAAGACUAUUUUCUGGCAUCGUUGCGAGGGAGCAUAUAUUUAUUUACAAGUCUACUUGGAGUUAUUUUGCUUGCUGCGAUUUAUCCACUAUGGGUAAGAAAGGAGACCCCAAGGUUCCAAUCUUACCAUCUACUACACGAAAAGGUAAUGUUCUUAGCACCAGAGCCAUGCUUGAUUCACCUUCCGUUAUGAGUAAGUUUGCUUCACCACCACCACAUCCUGCUUCUACCUAGUUCGUCACUAUGCCUGAUACUUUUGAUGAUGCUUCUACUACUAUUGAUGAGACUGGUUUACUUGGUUAUUUUAUUGAGUCUCAGAUUGCUAAGGCUGCAAAGCAGUCUAGGGUUGAAAUUCCUGUUACAUUCUACCCCAUUGGUGUAUCCUUUGGUUACCCAGACUUGAGUGGUCUCAGGGAAAGAAUUCUUGAUGAUGAUUAUAUUGAACUUGAUGAUGAUUUAUGCAUGGAGCUUACAGAGUGUGCUAACUCUAACCCUGCUUCUGUUAAGAAGCUGCUUGAAAAGCAUUCUAUGAAGAAAAAUUUACUCCCAAUCCUAAAUUUGCUUAAUCUCCUAUUUGCAUUGAGGAUGCUGAUUUUAAUUUCUCUGACUAUCUUUCACGUAUAUCCACAGUUGAAGUUGACCCUUUUUAUGGCAGAGAAAAGGACGAUGCUAUUGCACACCUUACCAAAUUCACUGAGUUGGGUGGCUUAUCCACUAAGAGGACAAGAAGAGAAAUUAUCAUGUUACUAAGCUACUUCCUUUCUCAUUGAAGGAAGAUGCUAAAGCAUGGUAUGAUGCACUACCAUGUGGUUACAUUAAGAGUCCUCAAGAUUUAGCUCAAUCUUUUGUUGCUAAAUAUUUUCCUGCUCAUAAGCAACAUGCUUCUUUACAAAGAAUAUAUAACUUUACACAGUUGUAGGAUGAGCACCUCCCUAAAGCUUGGGGGAGGUAUUGCACUUUACUCAAGGCUAUACCGAGACAUGGAGUCCCUAACAAUGAAUUGCUUGAUAUAUUUUAUGCUGGUCUAAUCGAUGAAUCUAGAACCUAUCUGGAUUGUUGUGUUGGCUGUGUUUUCAGGGAAAGAACACCGAACGAUGCUGAAGAACUAAUGGGCAAGAUAGCUAAAAAUCAUGAUGACUAGUCUGUUCCUGAACCACCUCCACCACCCAAGAAGAGGGGCAUGCUUUUCUUGAGCCCUGAAGCUAUGAAAGAAGCUAAGCAGUCUAUUAAUGAGAAAUGUAUUAAAGCUGAAGAUGUGAAUAAUCUACCUCCUAUUGAGAAAUUAUGUGAGCCUACCACUCACCCACCUAUGGUAGAGGUACACUCUCUUUUAGAAUUCAAUGCAAGUGACAUCCCUCAUGGUAAGACCCCUGAUCAAUGCUUAGAUGAGCUUGAUAAUUUCAUUGUCAAGCAAAAUCACUUUAAUGAUAGGAUUCAAAGAUAGUUGCAUGAUAAGUCCCUUGCUAUCAAGAGUUUGCUUGAUGUUUUAAGUAGAACUAUGAAUGAUGUUAAAGGUCUUGUUAAGCAUUUUCAUAUGGUUCAAACUCAGCUUGAACAAAUUUCUAAUGUGCAAAAAGAUUUGCUUGCUAACAAUGCCAAACAAGUUGAUACACACGCAUAUGGUAUAAAGACCCGAGGUGGUACACACACCUAGGACCCCCUCUAUCCGGAGGGGCAUCCAAAGAGGGUCGAGAAAGAUUCUCAAUUGCAGGAAGAAGACGUUGUCAGCUCCCCGAAGAAGAAGAAUAAACACAAGGAAGCUGACAACUCCAAUGAUCCCAUAAUUGAUGAAGAACCUAUUGUUGAUCCUAAUAGUAUAUCUAUUUCCGAUGCUGAAACUGUAGAUGGUGUUGAACCUGAUAAACAUAAUGAGAAGAAUGAUCCUCCUGAGGUACAAGAAGAAGAAGCACCCGACAGGCACAAGAGGUAUACUAGAGAAGACUUUGUUGCAAGAAGACAUGGGACGGAAAGAGAACCAUGGGUACAGAAAUUAAUGCCCUUCCCAGGUAAGUCUUUCAAAACCAAAGAAGAAGAGCAUUACAAUAAAUUUUGUGAAUGGAUGAAACCUCUUUUUCUUCAAAUUCCUUUGACUGAUGCUAUUAAGUUGCCUCUGUACUCGAGGUAUAUGAAAGAUAUUGUUACUAAGGAAAGAAGAGUUCUUAAUGAGGCAAUAUCUACUAUGCUUUCUAAUUACUCUUUUAGUCGUAAGAUUCCUGAGAAGCUUCGUGAUCCAGGUAUAUCCACCAUUCCUUGCCCAUAAAAAAUAAUUAUGUCAGAACUGGUUUAUGUGAUCUUGGUGCAGGAGUGAGUGUUAUGCCUUUCUAUCUUUACAAAAGGCUUUGUUUAGAUAAACUAAUCCCUAUAGAUAUCUCUCUUCAAAUGGAUGAUAAGUCAACGGCCGUUCCUGUUGGUAUUUGUGAGGAUGUUCCUGCUGAAGUUGCUAAUUGCUUGAUACUUGGUAACUUUGUUGUGCUGGACAUUCCCGAGGAUGGGAGCAUGUCUAUUAUUCUUGGUAGACCUUUUCUUAACACCGCAGGUGCUAUUAUUGAUUGCAAUAAAGGAAAGGUGACUUUCAAUGUUAAUGAGAAGGAGCACACGAUAUAUUUUCUGAAGAAGAUUGAUAAAAGGCAUGGCAUUAAUUCUAUUGAGAAUAUUGAGUCCGUGAAGGUUGGAGCGUGGGAUUGUCCUCUACAUGUCCACCACAAAUAUCAAAUCAUUAUGGUGGGAACAAUAUCCAUUAAAAUAAAGGUACCAUGAUUGCUUUAUAAGAAGUGAAUUUUUUUUCGCUCGAUAUAUCACCUGUUUGGUAGUAAGACUUGAUCAACCUUGCUAACAAAUAUGUUUUAUAUGAGUAAAAAGAGAAGCUUUUUAUGUUUUCAUUUCUUUUAUCUUUCAUCCUCCUUGUUGUACCAAAGUUUUAUGUUUUUUAAGCUUCAUAUGUUUAACCAUUGUUUCGAGCUUUCCGAAAGUUUUGCAGCUUUCGGUACUUCGAAAAUUUUCAAAAGUGAAGUUGUUAGAAAAAUUCCAGAAAAAUUAUAAUAAGAAUUUCCAUCGAAAAAGAGACGCAGGGGCACGUGAAGCCAACCAGGGGGGCCCCCUUGUCCAGGCGGCCAGGUGGCACGUCCUGGCCCCUGGUCGCGCCCAGAGGUCGCUUGGGCCCACCUGGUCCCCUUUCGUGGUACUUCUUCCUCCCUUCUCUCUCUCAGACACCAAAAAUCCCGAUUUUUCUCGUGGAGCUCGAGUUCUUGCUGUUCUUGGUGGAAAAUUUCGACCUCUCCCUACAACCCAUCAUUUUCAUUGAGAAAUUGAGAAUUUGCUCCUUGGUAUGUGACUCCUCCACUCCUCCAAUUAGAAUUUUGAUUGGUGGUCUUAUUUGUGAGUAUUUAGGAGUUCUUGGUGCUGUUCAUAUGAUCUUGCAUGCAUGUUUAGGAAUUUAUUUAUGAAGUUUUGAUGUAAGCUUAUGCAUCGGGGAAGUGAGUAGAAUAGUUUGCUCCAACUCAUUUUUGCUUAAACCUUCGUUUUUGUCAUGCAUCAAAAAUUUCAGAAAUGAGUUUGUUUGGAAAAGCAUAAGGAUGGCUUGGGAAGAAGAGACCCGAGCCUACCGAUAGACUAACCAGAGCUGCAUCUUCACCUUCUACUGUGAGGACCAGUUAUAAUAAUGAUAUAGUGCCACCGAAGUUGCUCCACGAGACGGACACAACACAUGCCAUGGCAUACCCAUGUUCAGAUUUCCUUACGGUGGCAGGUAUUAAGGAUGAGUUUGAUAACCUCUGUGCAGCUGCAGGGUUGACACGUCUCGUAACACAACUUGUGCAACAAUAUCCAAAACUCACCUAUUAUUUUGUCAACUGGUUUAGAUAUAAUGAUCAAACUUCCAUGAGUGAAUUUUGAUUAUAUGAGGAUGUCGUUACCAUGUCUUUGGCAGAAUUUUGUGACAUUAUAGGUGUGCGGAAUGUCGGGAAGACGACCAAAAUGGAAGUUCAGCCCUAUGAGCUGAAAUGCCUAUUCGCUUCCCUUUCAGCAAGGAUCCGCGAGACAUUCACCGGGGGAAGAUCUCUAGCAUAUUAUUUCCCCACAUCAGGUAUUUCGCAUACUAUAUUUCUCAAGGGGUGUUAGCUCGUGACAACACGAGAAACAUUUCGGCUUUGGAUAUCGCUAUCUUGGUAGCCGCCCUCUUAGGAGAUAACACGUAUAAUAUUGGUGCUUUGAUUGCUUGUCGCCCCGUCCCUAACAGCGGCAAAGGGCCUCACUUUGGUGGCAUUUAUGCCACGCUUAUCCUCGAGCACCUCGGGUGCACUGUAUGCAUGGAUGAUACGCCUUUUUCAUUCAUAAGAUUUGAUCUUGCCGCUAUGAAGAGGCAUGAGUUUGUUACUAGGAAUUUUGAGUUUGGUAACCUUGUUUAUAUUAUGAGGUUUGGCGAGUUUACUACUCGCGAGAUCCGUCUACAUGCACCACUUUUGUUUGAUUAGACUAGAAGGAAUUGAUGGUCCUUCACCUCGGUUGAGCUGGACGAGUUCGUGAUCCAGCAAUAGUCCGACAACCCCAUGGAGGGGGUUGUUCCGAGGAAGAACAGGCUUCUUCUUGGGAGGACUGUCGAGCAUCAGUUUACACACCCGAGGCUUCGUAUGAUUCUUGGAGCUACCCGUACCACUCCGGAGCCGGAGGAAGCUCCUGGAGCCCGCAGUAGCCAAGCCCAACUUAGGCCAAAAGCUUAAACUUGGGGGAGUACGCACCCUUAUCCCCUUUCAUUGUAUCAUCCAUGGUUUCCUUUUUAAUCUUUUCAGAGUUUUUUCCUAUUCUUCUUUGUUCUUUCUUUGCAAAAACAACAAAAAGAUUCCUCUUUUCUUUUGCUUUUGUUUAACCUUUGGAAUACCCAAAAAGAUUUCUUUUCUCUCUUUGGUUUGCUUCCCUUUGCAGAGUUCAGCUCAAGUCCAUGGUUGCAAUUGCACUUAAUUAUAUGUUUCUAUGUUCGAUCGUGUAAGUGAUGAUGCAAUAAUGACGAAGAUAGACGGAAGGGAUGCAACAAGGAAAGCCGGUAUGAACUCUAUUUGUUUCUCCUUUUGUACAUAUGCCUAUACUUAUGAUCUAGAGACCAGCUUGUAGCGAUAUAGUGCUAUGUUUACAAUGCUUUCCCAGAAGUUAAUGCUUUCUUUGUGACUUGUUUCAAAUAGCUGGAGUGCAUAAUGUGUUAUUGAAAUGACUUGCAUGCAUUGCAUUGUUCAUGGUUUGGCAUAUUGGAGUGGUAUUUCCCUUUGGAGAGUUUUUGGAUUGACAUGGCACAUGCUUACACAUGUUUAUGACUAGAAGUCUAUCAAGCCAUGAUGAUCUUUUUAUUUAAGAAUAAUUAUAUCACUUUCAUGCACGAUUCAAUGUUGCUUUGUCGCUCUGCAUGAUUAUGUCCGUUAUUGCUCUCUAGUUGGUCUCUUCCCCGUCCUUUGCUAGCCUUCGCCUGUACUAAGCGGACUGACUACUUGUGCAUCCAAAAUCCUUGAAACCAGGUGCGCCAUAUGAGUCCACGAUUCCUACCUAUAUGCGGUAUUUAUGUGCCAUCCUAAGUAAAUUUGCAUGUGUCGUAUUCUAAAUCUUCAAAUAAAUAUUUUGUUUUGUAUGGCCGAAUCACUCAUGUAGCGACUAGGGGUCAUCAAUAUCUUCCAUGCUAAGUGGGUUAUUCUCAAGAUAUGUGUUGAUUCAUUAUCAUACACGAGAAAGUGGUUGGUAACCCGGAUGCCGAGUUCCAUGCUCAAAGUCAAAUCAAAGUUAAUGAAAAAAAAACUCCCCCCAGGAUUGUUGUUUGUAUGGACGGUACCCGCGGAUUCUGCCCGCCGUGGAAUGUGAUCGAUUGGUGGACGGGUAGUAAAAUAUUUACUAUUCUGUUUGGGAACCGCCUAUAAUGUAUUUAGCAUGGAAGAUAUUGAGAUCUCUUAGUUGUUAUGUUGACAAUGAAAGCAUGCCACCCAAAAUUUUGAUUCAUUUCUGUUUCAAAAGCUCAAGUUCUGGCAUCUCUACAAAACAAUGCUUCCCUCUGCGAAGGGCCUAUCUAUUUUACUUUACUGUUGAGUCAUCCUCUUCUUAUAAAAAAGGCACCAACUAUAGAGAGCAUAAUUGUCAUUCUGAGUGUAAUGUGCAUUUCCCCAAAGCACUACAUUGUCUUCUGCAUGAUUGUGAUAUUACUCAUUCUGAAAUAUUUAUUUCUAGUCUCCUUUAAGACUCCGAAGGAGCGUCUGCAUUGAUGUUUUGCUUCACUCUUGGGGGCUAGUGAGAUACCACUCUAGUAUGUCCGAGUCAUGUGUGUUGUGUUCUCGUCAUGAUUUUCGGUUGCAUAUUAUUCAUUCUUAGUUGUUUGAAACUGUUCACAUGAUCGGAGGAUUGCUUCGUGCAUUGUCUUUGUAGCAUUGCUUCAAUACUUGUUGGACUUGUUCGUAGUGCAUGCUUAUAUACUUCUGAUGAAGCAAAAGUGUUUGUCAAAGUUCUCUUUGUCGUGUCCAGUUUGUUGAACUGAAUUGCUUGAGGACAAGCAAUAUGCUAAACUUGGGGGAGUUGAUACGUCUCAAAUGUAUCGACUCUUCCAAACACUUUUGCUAUUGUUUUGGCCUCAUUCUCGCAUGAUUGGAAUGAAACUAACCCAGACUGACGCUAUUUUCAGCAGAGCUGCAUGUAUGGUUUUCUUGUGUGUAGGAAAAUGGAUAUUUAGGCGUCCCAGAAAAUUCCAAUAAAAAUAGAGAAAAUCCACGCACCGGGAGGAACCCUGGGCCAGAAUAUGGGCUAGAUGGGGGCCACCACGCCUCCAGGCGACCUGUGGGCGCGGCCUGCCCCCUAGCCGUGUUGGGAGGCCGCCUGGGUGGGGUCCAACUCCUCUGGUGCCCUACUUUGGCUCCUAUUUUUACCCGUGACGGAGAAAUCCCAGAAGAUAAGUCGUGUUGCAAGUUCUCGACACGGAGCCGCUACCACCCUCGGAUCUUCUCCGAGGAGCUAAUCUGGAGGCUGCCUUGGCCUCCGGAGAGGGGAAAUCAUCGCCAUCGUCAUCACCAUCACCACUCCAUCACCCUUCCACGGCUUCCCCUAUCAUGUGUGAUUAAUUCCCUGCUAUAGGUGAAAGGGAUGGUAGGGAUUGGAUGAGUUAGAUCAUGUAAUAGUUCGUCGGAUUGUUGGGGGCAUGUUGCCUAUCAUCUACUAUGGUACUUAUCAUCUUUGCUACUACUUGUUACUCUUAAUACUUGUCACUUUGGGCCCGAGUUCCAUGAUUUCAUAUAUGUAUACCUUAUGUUUUCAUGAAUAUAUUUGUGUUCUUGAUCUUAUCUAUGAGUAGUAUGCACCUAUUAUUGUCCGGAAUCGGCGAUCCCAAUGGUGACAACUUGGGACACCAAAGGGGAUAGACUAUUAUUUUAGGAUUCCAUGUAUCUAUUGAUUGUUAAUGCUUUGUUCCGGUGCUCUUUGACAGGAGCACCUUAAUCUCCAUAAGUUCCUUUUGGCCCCGUUGGUAGCGGGAUGAUAGGAUAAAAGAUGUUGUGCAAGUUCUUAUUGCAAGCACACACGACUACCUUGGGAUACAUGCCUAAUGUUUCAUAUUUGCCUAGAUGAUCAUUACUUUUCUAUGUGCCUUGCCCCAAGUUAAAUACAUGAUAUCUCUCAUCCAUGACCAACCAUCCAUCUCCCUAGCCUAUAGUGUUUUAAUCCUGCUAGUCUCCAGUUGCUCUACUUAAUAUGUUUUACUUUUCUUGCUUUGCCACCACUAUCUCUGUUGCCACUAUCACUUUCAUAUCACCGUUGCUACUAAUAUUUCAUUGCCAAGCAAGUAUCUUUCAGGUGCAGUUGAAUUGAAAACUCAACUGUUAAACCUUAUAUUUAUUUUUUGGCUCCCCUUGUGUCGAAUCAAUAAAUUGGGUUAACUUACCCGCGAAGACUAAUGCGAUCCCCUACACUUGUGGGUUAUCAGCGACCUACAUCAACAAUCUUGCCACCAUCAACGCCAACUCUCUGCCCCUCUAUGAAGCGGUGUAACACCUAUUUUCCCGCCGUAACUCUCUACUUAAACAUGGUGCUCAACACUACAUACUAUUUCCAAAUGAUAUGUGGUUAUCCUAUGAUGUUUGAGUAGAUCCAUUUUGUCCUACGGGUUAAGUGUGAUAUGAUGUUAUUGAUAUCAUUUGCGUGUUGAUAUCAUGCUCUCCUAAGGUAAUUUUUUUCCGUGAUGCGCACACAUGAAGGAUACAUGUUGGAGGGUAUCCAAUAUGUUCAUGAUUCGCUUAUAGUGGGUGGCGAGGGUGACAGAAACUUACACCCGAGCAAGGGAGUUGUGCGCAUAUGGGAGUAAGCACGACUUAAUGUUUAAGGCUAUGGGGUUUACCUUAAUGAUUUCUAGUAGUAGCGGAUGCUUGCUAGAGGUCCGGUCAUAAGUGCAUAUGAUCCAAGUAAGGAAAGUGUGUUAGCAUAUGCCUCUCCCUCAUUGAACAAAAUAAGUAUCUAUCAUGUUAUAUUCAAUUGCAUAUGGAAAAUCGUUCUCUUGUGUUACACAAAAAGCUUUCUACUAAAUAUCCUCUUACUUUUAUUUACUUUCUCUUUAUUUUUCCGCAAAAUAGUUUCAUACUUGUUCUAGGUAAAGUAAGCGUUUGUGCGUGUAGAGUUGUAUCGAUGGUUGAUAGAACUUGAGAGAAUAUUAAUUCUGCCUUUAGCUCCUCAUUGGGUUCGACACUCUCACUUAUCGAAAAAGGCUACAAACGAUCCCCUACACUUGUGGGUUAUCAACCUGGUCAAAAUCUCAGAUGUGGUAGGUGAUCAAUUGUUGUGUCAUCUUGCACAACAUGAUCAUUGAGAGCGAGUAGGAGGAGCGAGUGUUUGACACUGAACCAUAUUUUAGGAACGGUCCUCUUGCAGUUGUUGACCACCAAGUACCGGCAACAUGGGUUGCCUUCCUCAAUAUGCGCCAGGAGAUCCGAGACCCACAGGUGCAUCAAGAACUGCAGGACGAUCUCGUGGAGCACCUAUGGAGGCUCAGGGCAACACCUAGUUCGAUUUGUUUUAAUUUGUGUUUGAAUUAUGAGCUUUCUUCGUUGAACCAUUUGAUUUGUAUUGAUUUAUUUGAAGAACUUUGUUAUAAAAUUUAAUUUUAUGAAUUUGUGCCUAAAGUGAUCCAAAUUUGUACUUAAAUUGGGGUGAAAGUGUCGGCCGGGGGCACCCUUUGGGGGUCGCGUGGGAACCCGAGCCCCCCGCCACCUCUCGCCGAAUUUAGCACCACUUCGCCCCCAACCUGCGCUAUUUUAGGCCCUUGGGGGGACGAACGGCUGGAGAUGCUCUAAGAAUCUGGAGCACAACACAGAAGAGAACUUGUGGCAUGCACCGACGGGAUCAACCUAUUUUUUUAGCUUUUAUUUUUUCAGUUUUUCAUAUAUUUUGAACCAAAAGUUUAAACUAAGUCUUGUUUUAUAUUCGUAUUUCUUGUGACGAGGACUUCCAAAUAAGACCAAUUUUAAAUACAUUUUGACGAUCUUUUUUUAGUUUCAGCUGUUGACACUUGAUACAAAGAACGAUAAAAUUCGUUAGUUUUUGGAACUUAAACUUAAAACUUGAUGUGACCUCAUGUAAAAUUCAAUGACUUUAUGAGGCAAUCAAACGACCGAGCAAGAAUGCGCAGGUGCUAACCCCUAAGAAUUUUCGAGCACAACAUAGACAAAAGUAUUAAUGUUACUACGGUAUUAUGUUCGUGUGUGGCAUACCUUCUGUUUAAACUAGUUUAAGUAGAAUUUUAUUGCUUUUCUGAGGUGAACUUAACUGUAAUAUAGAAGGAACUAAUUGUUUAAAGAUGUGAUGACUUGUUAAGAAUAUUUUAGACUCCUUUAAAAAAGGCAUGCCAUAUUGUUUUUGGAGGAUUUAGGGAAGAUACUUGUUGGUCCAGCUUCACCAGCUCGGCGCAUGAAGUGGUGCCAAACGGCCUAGCUCCGUACAUCCAGCAUUGCGAGGACAAGCCCCCCCCCCCAGCAGUGUAAAACCGGGAAAAUAGUUAAGCCGAGCUCCGAGAAGCUGAAAUAGCAGAGGUCCCCAAAUUUACACCGAAAAUGUGAGUGAUAAGUGAAGCUUACCAAUUCUAAACAGGUGAUUUCUCUUCCCCGAGCUCUUCCCCUCCCUUACCGUUGGUUCAUACACCACGCUGGCCGAUCGUCCGCCGUGAGAGGUCCUCUGCAAUCCCCACUUUAUUGUUGGAAAUAUGCCCUAGAGGCAAUAAUAUUUUAUUACUAUAUUUCCAUAUUGAUGACUAAGAGUUUAUAUUCUAUAUUAUAACUGUUAUGGUUCUGGAAUAUGUGUUUUAGUGAAAAACUGAUAUGCACGUAUGGAAUGAUAAACGGUUAAAUAAUGGUUCCUAGUCUCUAAUAACCCACAAGUAUAGGGGAUCAAUUGUAGUCUUUCUCGAUAAGUAAGAGUGUCGAAACCAACGACGAGCUAAAGGUAGAACAAGUAUUCCCUCAAGUUCUAUCGACCACUAAUACAACUCUACGCACGCUUAAUGUCCUCUUUACCUAGAACAAGUAUGAAACUAGAAAUCCAUUGUAGGUGUGAUAGGAUAGGUUUCUAAGAUAAUAAAGAACACAUAAAUAAAAACUAGGGGCUGCUAAGAUAAAGAAACAACUAAGCUGGUCUUAGUAGAGAUCUUUUUGUAAUAAGAAGGUUUAUUUGUUCCUAGGCAAUCGUUAACUAGACCGAUAAUCAUUAUUGCAAUUUUAUAUGAUGGAGAGGCAUAAGCUAACAUACUUUCUCUACUUGGAUCGUAUGCACUUAUGAUUGGAACUCUAGCAAUCAUCCGUAACUAGUAAAGAUCAUUAAGGUAAAACCCAACCAUCGCAUUAUAAGGUAUCGAGUCCUCUUUAUUCCCAUACGUAAAUAACCUACUAAUUUAGGUCUCUGCUUCUAUCACUCAUGCCACCUACGAUAAGCGAAUCAUAAACAUAUUGCAAACCCUACAGCAGGGAUCCCUCACGCUUGCACGACACAGAGAGCACCAUAGGACAACACCAAUAAUAAAACAUGUAACUCAAACCAAUCAUGAUCAUCAAUCAACCCAUAAGACAAAAUGAAUCUACUCAAACAUCAUAGGAUAGCGAUACAUCAUUGGGAAAUAAUUUAUAGCAUUGAGCAUCAUGUUUAAGUAGAGAUUACAGCAGGGAGAAGGGGUGUUACACCAUUGCAUAGAAGGGGGAGAUAGUUGGUGAUGACGACGGAGAAGUUGUUGGUGUAGAUCCUCGUCACGAUGAUGGCCCCGACGGUGUUCCGGUGCCACUAGGAGAGAGGGGGAGAGAGACCCCCUACUUCUUAUUCUUCCUUGGCCCCCCUAGAUGGGAGGAGGGUUUCCCUUCUGGUCCUUGUCCUCCAUGGCAGCGGAGGGGCGAGAGCCCCUCCAAGAUUGGAUCUCUCUCUCUCGCUCUUUCUAUUUCUGCGUUGCCAGAUUUUGUCCUUCCACCGUUUCUUAUAUUCCCGGAGAUCCAUAACUCCGAUUGGGAUGAAAUUUUAACACGAUAUUUAUUUGGAAAUUAGCUUUCUUGCGAUGAUAGAAGGGCACAAACUGCCUUACGGGGUGGACACAAGCCUGCCCGACGCAACCUACCACCCAGGUCGUGCCCCUAUGGCUUGUGGCCCCCUUGGGCACCGCCUUUUGUUGAUUGCACUUCCCAAAAUUCACAAAUAUUCCAAAAAAUCUCCGUAAGUUUUUAUCUCGUUUGGACUUUGCUUGAUAUGGAGUUUCUACGAAACAAAAACAUGCAACAAACAGGAACUGUACUGGGCACUGGAUCAGUAUGUUAGUCCCAAAAAUAGUAUAAAAAGUUGCCAAAAGUAUAUGAAAGUUGUAGAAUAUUGGCCUGAAACAAUCAAAAAUUAUAGAUACGAUGGAGACGUAUCAAUCUCGCCUCUAAGACUAGCUCAAUGUUGUUGCUUUUAAAGGUGCUUAUGAAAUUGCUUCUUUUCUUGAAAAGUAUGAUGAUGUUCCUUACAAAUCUAAUUUUUUUCCAUACUUCAAUAUUGCUACAAUAAUUAUGAAUACAAUGCUGAUAUUAAUGAAUUUAUUGAAAAAAAGAUGGAUGCCUUGGAAGAGACUAAUAUUUUCUAGGAGUCUAUGGAAGAAGAAAUUGAUGAUACUGUGAGCUCAGUGGAUGAAAAAGAUGAUGAGGAGAUUCAAGAACAAAACGAGGAAGAGCGGAUUAGCUACCCGUGCCUACCUUAUAAUAAAAGUAACUUUUCAACUCAUACAUUGUUUAAUUUCCCUUUCACAUACCAAAGGAAGAAUGCUAUGAUGAUUGCUAUGAUCCCUUGGAUUCAUUUGAAAUAUCCCUUUUUAAUGAACUUGAUGCUUUCUAUGAUUGUGGCCAUGAUGCCAAUAUGAAUUAUGCUUAUGAAAUAGGGCCGGCUUUGAGGGGGGGCAGGGGGUGGCCGCCCCAGGCCCCCAAAAUUCAGGGCCCCCACCUGGGUAAGUAGGCAACCCAUACACACACCUAUGGCAGCCCAGCCAGCCCGUCGAAACUACACAUUGCCCAUGAGUUGGGCACGCAGCGGCUCAUUUAAUCGUUAGGCUGUCACGCAGUUCCAUGACUCCUCGUCCGCUAUCUCACAGUUAUAGCCUCGUACGCACAAAUCUCUGUUUUGGUUUCCUAAUUUACAUCUCAGAUCAAAGCACGAGUUCAUCUCUUUGUGACGCCAUCAUGCCCUAUUCAUGUCUGUUCGGCGGUUGUCAUUUCACAAGCGUCGCUCUCCGAUCUCCACUCCACGUGGCUGUCCAUACCUCCUCAUGGCCUCAUCGUCGAGCAAACACGCAUUGACACACACGCCACUCUACAUUGAGUCAUGGCUGAGCGCUUAGUCAGGAGAUCACCUACAAGUCCCUCAUAAAAAAAGGCGAUCACCAACAAGAAUAUGACCCAUCCGACGCACCUAUAUGUACAUGGCUAAGUAAGUAAUUGACCUUCGUAUGAUGCAUAUAUUUCGCCGUUUAACUUUUGAUGCCAUUUUUUCUGCAUUGUAUGUAUACAUUAUUUCAUUUGAAAAUAUUUUUUGGGUUGAUUUAAAUGUUUAUCAGUAACAUCUUAUAUAUUUGAAUUCUAUAUGUUUACAUAGAGUCAUUCAUAAUGGAUUGAUUGGAUAUUUUUACGGAUAAGUAUAUAUCAGAGAUGUGUUCUUUAUGAGUUGAACUUCAUAAUCACUAAGAUUUAAUUGAGUUUUUCUAGUACGUACCUUUGUAAGUCCACACUAGUUUUGAAUUAAUCAAUAUAUUUUUAAAAUUUAUCACAUUUAGGUCAUCCAAGUACGUAUUCAAAAAAAAUUAGUUUUUUUAUUAAGGUAGUAUUGGUAAGUUAUCUUAUAUGGAACUGUUUCAGAACAUUUUAAGUGUUUCUUGGUAACAUUAUAUAUAUAUAUACAUACAUCGAUUAUUAUUAUUGGUAUUUAUAUUAUAGGCCCCAGGUUAAAGUUUUCCCCGAGCCCCCGAGAUCUCAGGACCGGCCCUUCUAUGAAGAUGAAUCUGUUGUAGUUCCUUAUGUUAGGCAUGCAAUUUUUAAUAUUGCACCCACACAUGAUAGUCCUUUAUAUUUUUGAAUUCUACCAACUACACUAUAUAAGAGAAGUUUGCACUUAUUAAGGAUUAUAUUGAUGGGUUGCGUUUUACCACUUCACAUGAUGAUUUUGAUGGAUAUAAUAUUCAUGUGCUUGCUGCUCAUACUUGCAAUUGUUAUGAUAGAGGAACUACAUCUCCACCCCCUUAUGUUUCCAACAUGAGAAAAUUGCAAGAAACUGCUUAUGGUAUGUAUUGGCCUUUACCUGAUGUGCAUGAAUUGUUCUUUUAUGACAUGUCGAUGCAUAGGAAGAGAGUUAGACUUCAUCAUUGCAUGAUAUAUAUUGCUUUGUGCUCGCUACUAAAUUACAAAUCAUUGUUAAUUAAAAUUAGCUUUGAUAUACCUUGGGAUCCUGGUGGACCGAUUACUUGAGCAUUUUAUGCCUAGCUUAAUGGAUUUAAAGAAAGAGCUGCUAGGGAGACAACCCGAAGGUUUUAGAGAGCCAUUUAUUUAUGUUUUGUUCUUUUGAAAUAUUUAAAAACGAAACAAAAAAUAAAGUGGGGAACUUAAAACUUUUCAAAAAGAAAAGUGAAAGUGAGAAGGACGAGCAUCGUUGAUGUGGGUGCUAGACUUGAACUUUGUUCAUGCCCAUGGAUAUAUUAUGAAUCUUGAUUACAUAAAAUUUUCUACAAAAAUAAUUAUUUCCUUGUAAAAGUCCAUUGUAUUAUAAAAAUAAUGUGACAAGAUUUGCAUUUAGGAUGAUUAGAUUGCUUGUUGGUAUGUGCGGUGUAAAAACAGAAACUUUGGCUGUAGUGCAUGAAUUUACAUUUUUUACUCGACUGUCGAAAGUUCCUAAAAAAAUAAACAGUAAUGCUAUGGAAAUUUCCUAUUUCGUCCUAAGUUUUCAUAAGUUUUGAAGUUACUGAAGUAUAUGUCAAUGUUAAGAUUACUACAGCCUGUCCUAUUUUUGACAAAUUCUGUUUUUGAUGCAUUAUUUUGCUUGUUUUGAUGAGACUAUCGAUUGUAUCAAUGGUAGAAGCGAGGGGGAAGUUAUAUUAUAGUAGCUAUAAUAGAAAAACAAAAUAUUAAUGGGUUUUAAACACUACUUAAGGUAGUAAUUUGCAUUAUUAUACUAAUGGAUCUCAUUAGUUUUCUGUUAAGUUUUGUGUGGAUCAAGUGUUCGAAGUUCGAGGAGGUCUCUAUAUGAGGAGAUGGAGGAGAGGCAAGAGUUCAAGAUUGGUAAUUCCCAAGUCACCCCAAGUAAAUAUCCAAGGAGACUCAAGCGUCUAAGGUUGGGUAUUCCCCGGAAGGCAUCCCAUCGUACUGCAACAAUAUCGGUAUGUUUUCGGCUUUGUUUUGUUCAUGCGAUAUGCGUAAAUGUUGGAGCAACUUUUGUGUUUAGUUUUCACUUGUAUUUUAUGCACCAUGCUGGUAUGAGAUAGUCCAUUGUUGAUUUAUAGUAUGCUCAUUGCACUUCACUUAUAUAUUUUGAGUAUGGUCUUAUAGAAUGCUUCAUGUGCUUCACUUAUCUCAUUUGAUGUUUGGAUUGCGUGUUUCUCUAUAUAUAGAAAACCGUUAUUUGUAGAAUGCUCUUCUGCUUCACUUAUAUUUAUUAGAGCGUGGUCUUUUGUAGAAAUAACUAAACUCUCAUGCUUCACUUAUAUCUAUUUAGAGAGUCAAAAGGAAUUGGUCAUUUACUUGGUUAGGCAUUAAUCCUACAUAAAACUUGUAGAGCACUGAGUAUGAUGUUUUUGAUUCCUGGUAAUAGUUUUGCGACAUUAUGAUAGAAAUAUGUGGGUGCACUAGUUGAUGAUGAUGGAUUAGUACGAAUAUUGAUGUUAAGGUUUGUGAUUCCUGAAGCAUGCACAUAUAAUCUCUGGUUACGCGAUGGAGUUGGAGCAUAAUUUAUCCUUGAUUGAAAUGCUUUGUGCUGUUAUAAUCGGAGUCACGCGAUGGUUAACUCCUCCCAACCUUCCCCCUAGGGGCAUGCGAGUAGUGCUUUGCUUCGAGUGAGCUAAUAAAAUAUUGCAAUAAGUAUGUGAGUUCUUUGUUACUAAUGUAAAUCCAUGGAUAUACACACUCUUACCUUUCCGCAAUUUGCUAGCCUCUACCGUACCAUGCAUUGCCCUUUCUCACCUCGAGAGUCGGUGCAAACUUCGCAGGUGCAUCCAAACCCCGUGAUAUGAUACGCUCUAUCACACAUAAGCCUUAUUAUAUCUUCCUCAAAACAGCCACCAUACCUACCUAUUAUGGCAUUUCCAUAGCCAUUCCUAGAUAUAUUGCCAUGCAACCUCUGCCGUCACUUCAUAUGACUUGUACUUCCACUAUCACAUUGCUUUGCAUGAUCAUAAGAUAGCUAGCAUGAUAUUUACAUGGCUUGUUCAUUUUUUAUAAUAUUUUGCUACGCUAGAUCACUGCACAUCUUGGUACACUGCUAGAGGCAUUCAUAUAGAGUCAUACUUUGUUUUAGGUAUCGAGUUGUAAGUAAAUAAAAGCGUGAUUAUCAUCAUUAUUAGAGAAUUUUCCCAGUGAGGAAAGGAUGAUGGAGACUAUGAUUUCCCCACAAGUCGGGAUGAGACUCCGAACGAAAAAUGAAAAAUGGGGGAGGCCAAAUGAUCCCACCACAAAAAAAGAGAAAGAAAAAAUGAGAGAAAAAAGAGAAGGAGCAUGCAAAUUCCACACUUGUGCUUCAAAGUAGCACCAUGUUUUUCAUAUGGAGAGUCUCCUAUGUUGUCACUUUCAUAAACUAUUGGGAAUUUUUAAUUAGAGUUUGAAGCACACCCACUUAGUUUUCACGUUGAGAUUCCAUACACUUAUAGCUCUUAGUGCAUCCGUUGCAUGCCAAUCCCUACUCCUCGCAUUGAUAUCUAUUGAUGGACAUCUUCAUAGCCCGUUGAUAUGCUGAGUUGAUGCGAGACUUUCUUCUUCACUUUUACCCCCUUUGAAACCUACCACGAAAUUCUAUUCCACCUUUAUGAUAUAUCCAUGGUUCACGCUCAUGUAUCGAGUGAGUAAUAAAAAGCUGAAGCGCGUUAAAAACAACGAUCCAAUUGCUUGAUUUGACACUAGGGUGAUCAUGAUUUAUACCUUAUGCUAGGAAGACCAAGCAUGAUAGGCUAUAUGAUUUUGUACGGAUAGCUUUAUUUAGCAUUGUUAUUUUGAAAGGACAUGACUGUUUGCUAGUAAACCUGGGUAUGGAUGCCUUUUUUUGUCAAAUGAUAGACUAUUGCCUUGAAUCACUUGUAUCUUAAUAUUCAUGCCAUGAUUAGAUAUAUGAUCAAGAUCAUGCUAGGUAGCAUUCCACAUUAAAAAUUAUCUUUUUUUAUCAUUUAUCUACUCCAGGACGAGCAGGAAUUAAGCUUGGGGAUGGUGAUACAUCUCCGUCGUAUCUAUAAUUUUUGGUUGUUCCAUGUCAAUAUUAUACAACUUUCACAUAUUUUUGGCAACAAUUUAUAUGAUUUAUUGGACUAACAUAUUGAUCCAGUGCCAAGUGCGAGUUCCUGUUUGUCACAUGUUUUUUGUGUUUAUCGAAAUAUCCAUAUCAAAUGAAGUCCAUACGCGAUAAAAAUUUACAAAUAAUUAUUUUGGAAUAUAUGUGAUUUUUGGGAGGUGGAACCAAGGAAAACGGAGGCCCAUGACCUCCACUUGACACCAGGGUGCGCCUGGGACCCCUGGCGCGGGGUGGUGUCGAGUGGGCACCCCUUAAGUCAGUUGUGGCUCUCCUUGGAGAACAAGAAACCUAAUUUAUGGAUAAAUAUCCCCUGAAAAUUUUAGCCCGGUCGGAGUUACGGAUCUCCAGGAAUUUAAUAAACAGUGAAGGGCGAGAAAACAAGAAUGUGAAACAAAAGAGAACAGAGUGGGAGAUCCAAUCUUGGAAGGGCUCCUGCCCCUCCGCCGCCAUUGAGGCGAUGGGCGAUAGGAGGAACUCUUCUCCCAUCUAGGGGGAGUCCAAGGAAGAAGAAGAAGGAGCGGGCUCUGCCCCCUCUCUCAUGGUGGCGCCGGAGUGCCGCCGGGGCAAGGAGCAUGAUGGUAAUCUACAACAACAAUCUUGCCACCUUCAAUUCCAAUCUCUCCCCCUCUAUGCAGCGGUAUAACACAUAUUUUCACAAUGUAACUCUGUACUUAAACAUGAUGCCCAAUGCUACAUACUAUUUCGCAAUGAUAUAUGGUUAUCCUAUGAUGUUUGAGUAUAUCCGUUUUGUCCUACGGGUUAAUUGUGAGAUGGUGUUUUUGAUAUGGGUUGUGUAUUGAUAAGGUGCUUUUAGUGAUGCACACACAUGAAGGAUACACGCUGAAGGGUUUGCAAUAUAUUCAUGAUUCACUUAUAGUGGUUGGCGAGAGUGAAAGAAACUUACAUCCGAGUAAGGGAGUUGUGCCUGUAUGGGAGUAAAGAGGACUGUAUGUUUAACGCUAUGGUUGGGCUUACCUUAAUGAUUUCCAGUAGUUGGGUGUAACAUCCCAAAUUUUGGAAUGUUAAUAUAAUUAUUAGAUUGAUUGUUUGUUUGUUUGAGUGAUUGAAACUUGAGUGAAGUUUGAAAUUUUUCAAAACUUUUGAAUGAGAGGGAAUAAAAUGAUUUUCCCCUUUUUCCUGUAAAUUCAAAUUCAUCCAUUUAAAAUCAAUGAUGAGAACAUAGCAUGACUUCUUCAACUAUAAAGAAUUUGAAUCAAGGUGGCAUUGAAAUUCCUGUCGAUUUUUCUUUGCAUUUUGUUUGUUCCUUAGUCACGGAAUGUCGGGAACCAUAUCUUGUCAAGCAAGAAAAAGAGAGGAGAAAACAUGACCCUCCAAACCCGGGGAUAUUCUUUGAAAUAUUUGAGCCAUGACACCCAAGAUUUAUUUGAGUAAUUAUUUGCAAAAAGAAAUAAAGCAUUUAGGGGAUUUACUGAAAAACAUUUUUUUAAAAGUUUUUAUUUCGGCCGUGGAAAAAUGUCCAUCAUUUAUAUUUUAUUUUUCUGAUAAUUUUAGUAUAUAGAAAUUCUAUAUUCCGAAUUUAUUUGGUUUCCUUUUUUAUCAUUUACUUUCCGGUUUUUGCAAAUAGGAAAGAGAUAUUUUUUAAUUGGAAAUAGAUCGGUGGCCCAUUAACACUCUCCAAAUCUGGCCCGACAGGAUCAUCUUCCUCCUCACGUUCUCCUACCUCACGUCGCAGGAAACUUCCAUAGCCAUGGUGAGAGGAAUCUCCACCUUCCCGAUCUCCUUGCUCCUUCCUUCUGCGAGCACCCCGAGCCCCUAUAAAUACUCCCCUCAACCUCCUCUCCCCAUUUUCCCCGUAGCCCAGCCCCUCUCCUCGUUGGAACGCAGCCCCCACCUCGCCGAAGUUCGCCUCCAACAGGAACUCGCCGGAGCUCUUGCUGCUCCCUCCCGUCGCCCCCACGCCCCGCCGGCACCACUGAUGGGGUCAUAGUCCUAGGGUAGGGUCAUAGGCCUGCCCUACACGUCCCUAUCCAAGGACUACCCCACACAAAGGACAGGGCCCUAGGUCUGUUCUGACUGAAUUAAGGAGUCCCGAUCAUCCAGUCGGCAACAGGCCAUGAACCAUCCAGUCGGAGACUAGCAUUCGGAGGGCAUCAAGCUAACCGACUGGAUACACUCGGUACGUCGUAACCUCUCUGGAGGGAAACUGCCGUACGUUUCCGGGUGCAUUUAUUAGCAUUUAGAGCAUACGUUACCUGUAACGUACGCAUUCAAUCGCCACUACUCCACCCUUGAAUCAGAACCAUUGUGGAGGGCCGCGCACUCUAUAUAAGCCGCCCUCCCCCACUGGUAAAAGGGUUAGCAAAUCAUUGUACUCCAUAUUACACUCGGUAACAAGCUCCGAGAGCACUGAGACGUAGGGCUGUUACCUCCACUGUAGAGGGGCCUGAACUCAUACAACCUCGCCGUAGCUAGGACUCUGCCCAUCUCAUUCGUACCCUACACAUCUACUGUCAGGCUUAUACCCACGACAGUUGGCGCCCACCGUGGGGCAGGCGUCUAAGCGACUUCGGGCGAGUUUGCGACUACCUCUUUUCGUCAUGCCGACUGGUGAAGAUUCGAGCAUGGGUCACCAGAUCCUCUUCGGUGCUCUCUCCUUCAUCUUCGACGAUUCGGCGUGGCUUCGGGAGGCUCCUCUCGACGUCGAGGCGCUUCCCCGUCGCGGGGCCACGCACUUCCGUGCCGGCGCUCGCGGCGUUCUUCUUCUUCAACAAUCGACUCCAUUGUCGGUUUGCACCUCCGUCGUGCGCCGCACCAAGCGGUCCCGCAGUCCGCGUCUCCAACGUUGGGUGCAGCAUGCCCGAGCGCGUCAGGUCGCGUCCUCUCAAGUGGCGGUUUUGGAGUCAGUUGUGGUAGCCCCACGCUCCCAGUGCUCGGGCUCGGUUCCGACUGAGCUCCCUUCCGAGUACGCGGGUCGCGGGCCUGCAGCAGAAGUACAUAUGGCCAACACCCAUGAAGAUUCCCGUCAAACCGACCGGGGUGAGCGCGAAGUUGGUGAAGCAUCCGGUGCACGCCGUCCUCGUCGUCGUUCUGCCAGUCGGCACACUCGACGAAGCAACAUAGAGUUGUUCCGCACACCUCUCCUCAACUUGGCUGCGGCUGCCCAGAUCGCCGAUUCCCUCCAGCCGACUGAUUCAGAGGCAGGGAGGGGAAUCGAGCAGAUCCGAGCUCUAUUGCGCACGACACAGCAGCAGAAUUCGGCAGUCUCCCAGUCACACAAUCGGAUCUACAAUAGUUCCGUCCAUGCAAACACGCAUCGAUCGGUUCACAGCCCUGGUUCCCAUCAACACCACAGGGGAGGCAGCCGUUCCGUGAUCCGUGAAGAUUGCCGCCGCUCACGCACCCCUCCGCAAAGGGACGCUUGGAAAGAAGGGAACGCACGGCUCUUAUCUGGUUCGAAUCCAGUUCGGGGUGGGCCUUACGGGUCCCGACAUCAUGAUGAUCGGCGUUCAGUCAGCGACACUUACGACCCAAGACACGACGCAAGAGGGCGAAUCGCCCAACGAAGAGUCGACAGGGGUCGAGCCCACCGUGAUGGGCACAAUAUGGACCGUCCAAGUGGCAGUAGGUCCAUCGUGUCCGGACCCGAGUGUUUUAUUCGAGCCAUCCGCUCGGCUGACAUCCCGCCCAACUUCCGAUUGGCAGCGGGAAUCAGUAAAUUUACGGGAGAAUCCAAGCCUGAAACAUGGCUAGACGACUACUGAGUGGCAGUCCAGAUCGGAGGAGGGGACGACCAUGUCGCCAUGAAGCACCUCCCUCUGAUGCUCGACGGCUCGGCUCGAGCUUGGCUUAACCAAUUGGCCCCCUCAAGCAUUUACAGUUGGGCAGAUCUGGCCCGAGUGUUCAUCAGGACCUUCGAAGGGACGUGCAAACGCCCUGCAGGCCUUGUGGAGCUUCAGCACUGCGUUCAGAAGCCGAAUGAACCCUUGCACGACUUCAUCCAGCGAUGGACAACUCUCUACCACACGGUGGAGAACGUCACCGAGCAUCAAGCAGUCUGCGCCUUCAAGGCAGGCGUGCGGUACAGAGAGCUAUACUUGGAGUUCGAUCAAACGGGCGACAUCUCCAUGAGUAAGAUGAUGGAGAUAGCGGCUCGCUACGCAAAUGGCGAAGAAGAGGACCGCAUCCGGAGCGGCAAACACAAGACAGUCGGCGAUGUCGACGGAGGUUAACACUCGGAAGCAGAAACAAAAAGUUCCUCCCACACCGCAAGCAGAAGCUGCAGCU